RNAcentral lists this long non-coding RNA (79569 nucleotides) under Triticum aestivum (bread wheat). RNAcentral describes it as "long non-coding RNA (TAES_LNC012539)". The stretch from base 15024 to 15138 matches the Rfam family "MIR1120/MIR1122 microRNA precursor family". Lineage: Eukaryota; Viridiplantae; Streptophyta; Magnoliopsida; Poales; Poaceae. The record is from RNAcentral.
AUAUGUUAAUUCAUUUUGAUAACUUGCAUUAAGCAGUAUUACUGCACUCAUUUGUCCACGUAGACCAAGUGUACCACUCGGGUUUGACACAACAUAAAAAGCACCACCACUUUUAAUACAAUCAAUUUUCUCCAUCCAUAGUGACCAGAUCCAGUUGCUAAGGAUUUAUGUUAGAUUAGACAAAAAUGGUCUUAGCUGCACACCUGCAGUAUUAUACUAUUAUGCCUAGUUAAUUACUCCCUUAACACCGUCAAACUGUUCCUCGCCACAUGUCAUUAUCUUCUUAUUACGAGCACAUCAUACCAGGACCCUGGUCACGUUUCCGAUCUCCCUUUGGCCCGACAAAGCUCGCUUUGUGAUCCCAACUACUGCAAUCCUUUGAAUAAGUUCCUGGCAACCUGUUCAACAAUGUUGAUUUCCCAAACAAAGGACACACCGCAAAACAACACAUGCAUCUCCACUUUUUAUCACAUUGCAUCCCUCACCAGCACAACCACCACCGUUCUGGUCUUUGUAGGAGUAUAAGCAACUCCCUCUGUAAUUUUGCAAGUAUUUCACAUCAGUGGUAAUCAACUAAUCAUGGAUAAUACAGUAUAAACUAAAAAACCAUGAAUUUCAUUGCCCUCUUCUACAGAAAAAUACAAAUUAUAGAUCCAAAUUUUACAUAGUCCUGAUGCCCCUUUUAUGCUUCUUAAGAAAAAGGCUACAAAACUGAGAAACAACAUUUCAAAAUAUAAGUACCUAGUCGGAAUGACCCAUUGGUGGCAUCAUAUAUAAUGUGUGGAGAUUUAUAAUUACACUAAAAUAUGUGUGACAUACCUGUACAAAAAAUAGUCUUUUUUACGAACCCGCAUUAAAGAACAUAUAACUGGCUUAGGUUGGAACUUUGUUUAGUCCGAGUCUCCGAGACAUGCCCAUUUUGCAAAGAUGGCCUUGAUGAAAGCGCCCAAUUUUUUCCUCAUCUAAGAGCUUCUAACUCAAAUGACCGGUACUCACCCUUUUUUUAUCAAACUUGCAACACUUUUGAUCACCAUCUAGGGGUCCUAGGCCAAAGUGAAUGACAUAAUAGAGAAUAACCAAUAACUAUUAUGUAGGACAACUUAAAUGGCUGUUGGUAAUGAUUUGUCAUUGUUUUGUGAAGCGCAUGAAAGCUGUUGGUUAGACAAAAACUGUUGAAACUCGUAUUUUCGUGUACACAUGUGUGAAUAAGGAGAAUUAUCAUUCUUCAAUUGAGCAAAUAUGAAAGAACCCUGCUAUGCUACGGGAAUGCAUCCCAAAGAAUGAGAAUCUGCUAACUUAGUGUAUACCUUAUAAAAUCAUUUCGGUCAUCCGCUGAGCAAUCUUGUAAAGGCUUUGUGUAAUUUCCAAGAAAUGCCUCAUAUCUAGUGUGUUCUGCACCAUUUUCACCUGAAUCGGUCACAAAAAAUCAACUUGUUCAUCUAAAAUAAACAGGGUUCUACUCAUACACCAGAAACGGAUAGUUGAACCACCAAACAUUAUAUCUACACUGGCCACCUGACAUUAUGAUCACUUGUCGUACCUAUUACAUGAAAAAAAAGUAUACGUCAUCUUUCGUAAAAAGCUUAUGAUCUAAUUCUGUGUUGUCAAAAGACACUUAUUCAUCUAUUUAUUUGCUAAUAUACGGGUGUGGCUCCAUGCAGGUGUUUCUCAACUUACAAAGAACUGUACAACCUAGAAAACUUGAAACAUCUGCUUUAUUGUCUAUUGCCUGACAAGCUUCCACAUUGGGACAGUAGAAAUCGCUAGGACAUGAAAAUAUCAAAGGGUCCCUACAGGUUCUAAAGUAAGCCUCAUGGUUGCACUUGCCUAGUUUCAGAAAGGGCUAGCGAAUAAAAGCCCAACUAUAUAACUGAAACGUCUAAUCGAUUAUUAGCCAACAUCUCCUACGGCUGAAUUUAAAAUCAUUCGAAGUAAGAAGAAAUAAAACUGAAAAUGGAAGGACACUACUGACAAAUAGCAAGCAAUACAUAGAUAUUGUGGCUACCUUGGAAAUGUGCACCCCCAGGCUUGUAUGAGCUCCAGAACACUUGAUACAAAUGAACGCACCAAAAGUUAAUGAUCUGCAAAGACAACAACAAUUGAAGAUUGAGAAUAAUGUGGAACACUCAGUCUCAGAUACCAUGCACGCUGGACAGAAGUUUUACCUUAUCUCAUAAGAAAAUAAGAAAUACACAUAGUGUUGUAACUUAACUGGGUCGCCGCCGUCGACCCCAGCAAGGCUGAGAAGUAGCUCCCACACUCCGGCGCCAAGGCCGCCGUCAUUGAAACGGCGUUGACGGUGGCGGCCGAAGUGCGGCGAACAUAACUUAUCAUUAUCAGUUUAGAGAAGAAGCAGAUAAAAGAUUACAACCAAAUAUACCUGGAAAAUGUAUAUCAGCAAUAGAAUAUUGGCUGCAAGCCAAAUAAAUAAGCAUACUUUGCCAGAUGACAACCAACUAAAAAGCAAAAAGAAGCAAAAGUUGAGGGCAGAACAGAGCAUCUAUAUAUACCUGUAUCACUGAUGAAUAAAAUUAAUAAAAUCCUAAUAAAGAUGGUGCAGUAGUUUUUCAGACUCAAUGAUAUGGAGAUGUUACUCACAUUUUGGGACACCUUUGUACAAGGUCAUUAAACUGCAUCUCACGGGGGGUAAGACAACAAGCUUGUUGCAGAUUUGAAAACAUCAACGGAAGACCCCUUUACCCCGUCAGGCCCAUUGUAACUUGUAUGUAUAGGUACUCCAAUCCUUAGAAGCAUCCCACAACAAUGUUAGAUGAGAGAUUGAAAAAAACACAGUAGCACACAUGGUCUUCCUCGCACAACUAUCAUCAAACACCCAGCGUACAACGACCCACAUGUUUUAACUCAAUUGGUGGAGAGGAAGUAGGGCCUUGACAGGGAUGUAGCGUACCAAGCCUUCUUCCUCCUCCUCCUGUGGAGGCGUGGAGGCCGGGGCAGCUUCUGCCGCCGCCCGGAUCCAGGGCAGUAGAUGGAGCGCGGCGGCAGCGACCACCACGGCCGAUGAAAGAGUACCUACACGGGCGGGGAAGUGCGCCGGACUGGAGCUUAUGGUGGCGGCCUCGUCUCGCGGAGGCGGCGGAGAUGGUGGCGGCACGCGCGCAGCCGCCCCAUCGGUGGCAAGUGUCGGGGCGGCACAGGAGGGCAGCGGAGUUGGGCUCGCAUGGGGGAGUCACGAGAGUGCGGCGGCGAUGGGCUCGCGUGGAGGCGAUAGGGCGGGGCGGUUGGGAGGGCAGCACGAUUGGGGAGAGAAAGAAAAGGAUUGUGGGUAUGGGGCGAGAAAUUAGGGAUACCGAUGUCAUUAGCGUGAUUCGGGUGGAAUCCAUCGGCUGUUGCGGGCCAGGCCGCGGGAUCGUGGACGCGGGAGUGCUAGGAGAUUGGGCAGACGACGCGUCUGCUCGGCAGAACAUUGGAUCUGGGCCGUUGAUUUGGGUGGCUAACCAGUAACGUAAUAUGAGCAGUAGGAUAUGUUUAGGUUGGUUUAAUCGGAAGGUCCUGGUUAUCUUGUGUACAAUUUGUUGUGUGGCUUUAGGAGAAUUCAUGUUUGCUCUUUUAAUAGUAGUAUAGAUGUAUGGUAGGGAGUAACUUCAAAUUUCUGAGAUUUUACUUCACUUAUUUUGCUUAGGUCUUGCUUAUGACACUUCAAAAUGCUCCCCCUGGUCUUGAUUAUGAAAGAGAUAAGAAAUUCUCAAGGGUAAAUAUAUUUGAGACGAUCCAUCACCUCUGUGUUAUUUAUCUGAGGACUUAUGCAUAUGGUUUCUUAUAACAGCAUUUCAAGCAAAUGGUAGCUAUGUGUUUGGUAAAAGAGCCUUCAAAAAGGCCGACUGCAACAAAAUUGCUCAAGCAAUCCUUUUUCAAGCAAGCUCGUUCCCAUGAUUACAUUGUUCGAAAGCUUUUGGAGGGAUUGCCUGGCCUUGGCGCCAGAUAUCAAGCUUUGAAGGUACACUGGUUUAAAUGGUGCAUGGCUAUUUAUUGGUCACUUGAUCUUCUUCACUCUUUAAUGUGGGAUCUUAACUAUUAACAGGAAAAGGAUGAACAUUUACUUGCUCAAAAGAAAAUGCCUGAUGGUAGAAAGGAAGAAAUCUCGCAGGUGCUAAUUCUAAAUUUGUAAUAUAUCAUUCCUGAAAAUGGCCCUAUUGUUGGAGUAGUAAAAUCAAGCAACUAUUUUAUCUUUAAUUGUGGUCUUUUGGCAUGUCUUGUAAAGGUGGCAGCCACAAUAAUUAAUACCCCCUCCGUCCAAUAAUAUAAGAACGUUUUUCAAGCUAUGUUAGCUUGAAAAACGUUCUUAUAUUAUGGGACGGAAAGAGUAUUACUUAUGGCAUCGGUAAUCAUGAUCGCCGAACAAAGUAUGCAUUUCAUGUUGGUUUCUUUAUCCAAAUGUUAAUUUUUAUGUUUCCCCAUAACAUGAUUAAGCAUAUUGAUAUGACCUUGUUUCUGAAAUUUUGCUAGUUAGAAAGACAAACGGGAAGCUUAUGAAUUUAUGAUUAAACCAGGUAAGGUUGGGAGGACAUGGCAUGACUACGUGAUAAAGGCCGACACUAGAGUCACUCAUGUAUCUUCUCAAACAACAGAGUUCAAAAUUUAGAUGUGGCUACAUUUUUAACACAUCCUAGAGAUCCCCCACUAUCAAUCAUAACGUUUUUAGGAAACCUAACGCACAUAUGCGCCGUAAAGAACUCUUUCUUUUAUGGUCAAUAGUCAUAGCAUCUCUGAACGAUAUCCUCCUUCACCACCUACAUGCUCCACCGGGAGUAUUUGCCAUGAUACAACUGGAACAGGUAGGGGGCUGGAGGAGGGAGAUCAGAGAAGGGCGGAGACACCAUUUUUCCGGUGGGCGACGCCGAAGCAUGAGAUAGGGUGGCCACAUGGAAUCCUAGCGUUGACCCAUCUUUCUUCACGGGAGGUGAAUGGGAGAGAAUUGGGGGUAAGAAGCAUAUAGUGCAAAUUCGGUGAAGUGGCAGGGUAGUUUGGGCAGGUUUUUGUUUAAGUUGGAAAAGCUCCUCACAAGGUGCUUCUGCCUUCGACUGAAAGCAGCCACAACGCUUCCAAAAAGGCUAAAAAUAAUCGAGCGUUUGGUUGGCCCCUAUUGGCCUGUAAGGGUGAGAAGCCGNNNNNNNNNNNNNNNNNNNNNNNNNNNNNNNNNNNNNNNNNNNNNNNNNNNNNNNNNNNNNNNNNNNNNNNNNNNNNNNNNNNNNNNNNNNNNNNNNNNNNNNNNNNNNNNNNNNNNNNNNNNNNNNNNNNNNNNNNNNNNNNNNNNNNNNNNNNNNNNNNNNNNNNNNNNNNNNNNNNNNNNNNNNNNNNNNNNNNNNNNNNNNNNNNNNNNNNNNNNNNNNNNNNNNNNNNNNNNNNNNNNNNNNNNNNNNNNNNNNNNNNNNNNNNNNNNNNNNNNNNNNNNNNNNNNNNNNNNNNNNNNNNNNNNNNNNNNNNNNNNNNNNNNNNNNNNNNNNNNNNNNNNNNNNNNNNNNNNNNNNNNNNNNNNNNNNNNNNNNNNNNNNNNNNNNNAUGAUCUACGUGAAUUCGUAGUGGAAUAUAGGCCAACUUUGUACUUCAGCAAACUGGUGGUAAAGAAAUGGUAAAGUAAAAUGAACAGUAGCUCUGGUUUAACUGAUCGGACUGUCAUUGUCCAACUGAGAACGAGGAGUGAUCUGAGCCGUUUGAUCAAGUUGAACCGUUUUGCUGGAAGCGCUACACCUAACUGAACUUGCCAAGCUAGUGCAGCGUCUUUAGAGAACUGUCCUGACAUUGCCCCCUUCUUGAGAUACGAUAUGACCUCACGGCGUUGAUGAAGAAGCACGCCACCCUUCUGUAGUGGAACGGAAGAAUGCUGGGAAUAUAUUGAUAAAAUCUGCAUCUUUCCAAGUUGCGUCCUCGGGACAAAUUCUCCCACUGGAUUAACCACCGUACCACAGGCAGGUUUUGUCGAGAAAUUUGUCAUACCUGUAGCACUAGUGCUGGAGCUGUUUUGAUGGUGGCAUCCUUAUUAACCAUAGGGAAGUCAGGGCUGGGAAUGGAUUUUUGUCCAAUAUGCAUUUUGAGCUGACUAACAUGAAGACUGGGUGUAUUUUCACAUGUUCAGGGAACUGUAAUUUGUAAGCUGUGUUGCCCACUCUCUGAAUCACCAGGAAUGGCCCACUGUAACGUGUAACAAAUGUUGCCAACCCAAAACUCUAUUAUCAUUGUUUUGAAUUUUAGAUCUGUGUCAUUUCUGUUGUACCCUUUCGGCACUGAGAUGAUUACUUUAUUGUCACCAUUAUAUUGUUUUUCAUCCAAUCCUUUGUAUCUCUUGCAUUGCUAGGAUGAAUACAAAAGGGGUAUCAGCAGCUGGAACUUUGACAUUGAUGACCUGAAGUCUCAAGCCUCACUGGUAGGCAUUUAGCAUUUUCAUUUCCACUUUAGUCAUUGACUUCACAUCAAGUAAUUUAGCUUAUUUAUAUUUUGACAGAUUUCAGAGUGUGAGGACACAAUAUCAUCUAAAGAUACAGAUAUAUCGUCUAUCUAUGACUUCGACACCAGCUUGCAGGAGCAAGCACACGAAGGAUCUCUUUUUUCAAUGAAGUAUGAUACUGACAUCGUAAGUUUUAGCUCCUGUAGAAAGUAAGGUUUUCCAAUCUAGAAUUUUCCUUACAUCUAACGCCAAGCAAAGUUGGUAGGAAAAUGAUGUCAUGGCCAAUGAUAAGUCAGCUGUUUCAUCACCCGAGCAGUCUGUUUGUCUAUCAAGGUAAUGGAUUUAAUUUGGCUGAAAUUACUUCAAUCAUAUUGUUGGUUGUAAAUGAUAAUAUCUUAUUUUAUGCCAAAUAGUUCUUGUGAUGACAUCGCGAAAUUACGUAAUAUGUCACUGUUGUACACCUGUACGACACACCUCAGAAAACUGAUUUCACUUAUUUCUACUACUAGGGCAUCUCUAUGUGGAACUUCUAACGGAGUACUGGUAAAUGGCCAUGUCAGGAAACACAGCUCUAUGGAAAGCUGUGAUUUGGACUUGCAAGAGAAAGAUUUGGAUGCUAUUCCAACAAGCUCAUUUCAGGAAAGGAAGUGUUCUUUCAGUUCUUGCUCAUCAGAUGGUUUUCUUUCUUCCAAAGAGAGGUUUGUUGUACUUCACAGAAUGAAAUUUAAACUUGAAGGAUCACCUUUUUUCCCAAGUAUACGAAAACAUGUUUUGCUUGCUGUAAUUUGAACCGUAUUCUAGAACCAGUUCCGUCUUAUCAUGAUUGUAUUUCAUAGUUUCAGUUGGCAAAAUUGCCAAUAUCUUGUAGAAUCAAACUCGAAAAACAGUUGACCAAUUACGAAAAUACAGGUCACACAAGUGCUGACAGAGACUUUUCUUAUCACGUUACAUAUGCACUGGGAAUAAACAUAACUUACUUUCCUGUAUAGUUACAUAAAAUUUUGAGAUUCUCGGUAUGCACUUUUGGUGCCUGAAGAAUUUUUUUCUGCAACUCACAGUCAAUGUCUAUGAAGUUUCAGUUUGUUAGCAGUGCCACUGAUAGGGAUGUGGUUUUUAAAAGGUUGCUUGCCUGGCUUAGCAGUUCAAUGUAUAUUUUUUAUUAGUAGCGUCUUGAUAAUAACUAUUUUGUUCAUAUGAUAGCUGCAUGGCUGUACUAUUUUUUAUAUCCAUAUUCAUGACCCUAUAACUAAUAUGGAAGCUAUAUUUACCAAAAAGGGCGUUGCGUCAAACUGGAACACAAAGCUAAAUAGUUUGACCACAUCAUUGGAAUUUCUGUUCUAUUAACCAGUGAUGUUCCACUUUUUACCAUCUGUUGUUAGACCUUGUUUGGAAUGCAGGACCAAAUUCUUGUGUUCCAAAUCAGGCCUAAUGGUGUUCUUCUGGAAGCUGCCCAUAGUAUUACUACUGUACUUGUAUCUCCUCGUGACAUAUUUUGAUACAGUGUGCAACUGCAUAUGUAAUUCUUUCAGCUCUAAGCCACAAAUCAACAUUCAUAACCGUGAGAAGGGUAGUGGAGGGGUCUUGCAAGUAGCAGAUGAGCCAUCUCCUGAAGCUAUUUCUAGGGCACCUAAAUCAUUGGGUAACAUGCUGGUUUUAUCCCUGCAGUUCGUAUAGGUUAACCUAAUGUGGGCUAAUCAGAAUAAGUUCUCAUGAGUAUGAAAAUUUGGCAUCUGUUUAUUGCUUUAAUGCAGUAUCAAAUGUUGACGAACAUGAUGAUAGAUCAAAACCUCCACUUAUACAGCAAAGAGGCCGUUUUAAAGUUACACCUGGGAAUGUCGAGUUGGAUAAGGUAACUGAAAACCAUUAAUAAUACUUUGUGCAUGUUUGGUUAACUCUAGGAUGACAUGAUUUUGUAAUUUCAGGCUCACUCACCUGGCCUACAAAAGUCUCACAGCAUGCAGGUUUUUAGUCUUUAUCCUACAUCAUGUUUCAUGGGCAUUUAUCUGUUUUGGUUCAUGAACUGGUGCAGUGCAUGUUUGGGGACUGGAGUCAUAUAUAUAUUGCGUGCUCAAAGAAUGCAGAAAAAACCAUUGUUUCCUGACUAACAACCUUAGUGGUUCCCUAUUUGGUAUAUUCGGCAGCUUUUGUGUUGGGACCUAAGCCAUGUGGAAACAUCAUUAUAACCUCUUUAAAAAUUUGAUAUAUUGACUGCAGAAUAUUAGGUUAAAAAAAGAGUUUAGAAUAAUCGCACCAUGAACAGUACAGAGUGCCGGAGAGCUGUUUGAUUGUCUUUGCUUUAACUCUCUUGGUCCUCAAGAGGGAAUUGGCAAUAAAACCUGCCUCAAGGCCCAGUAAAAGACUGCUUUACGUGACUGCAAAAUGUGCAAUAGCAGCACGAUUACUUGGGUUUAGCUUGAAUAUCCGAAAGUAAUUGAUGCAUGUUAGUCCUUGUAAUGAUAGGUUUUAAUUAGACCACCCCAUUUGUUAAAAACCCUGGUAAGGGUUUGAACUUUGAACUAAAGAAAAAAAAACUCGACCCAAGGGGAGAGAUAACCCGAAUGCAUUGCAUUGUAAGGUCGAGAACUUGGUUUGAGCUCUGUUUACUUUUACAUGAACUAGCCAAUCACAGUUGUCAAAUGUGGUUGAUCAUUUGUAAUGCAUAAAACAUACACUUAACUUUCUUUUCGUUUCACACCAUAUAUUUGUUGUUAUGCAGACAAUUUCUCAACUUUCUGCAUUAAGCAUACCAUCUUCAGCUGAGGCUGCUUCAAGCAUUAUUGGUGGCUCCUUGUACAUCCAGUUAUACAAUGUUUUGCAGACCAAUCUGCUUCAGAGGGUAAAUCCCCCACCCAUACAGCACUCACGACAGAAAAUGAGCUUGACAAACAAAACCUCCCAAGAAUGAAAAGUUUGCUCUGUUGAUGCUAGUCUUCCCCUCACUUGCAGGAACAGAUACUUCAUGCGAUGAAGCAGUUAUACAUUUCUGAUUCUAUUUCACCUGUUCGGAUGCAUUCGUUAAGUCGUUCCCCAUCUCCAUCAUCAGCUUUAUCGGUAGAUAGAUCCAUGGUAAGCUCAGGUUCUAGUUAAAGUGGCAGGAACUCUAUUAUGAAACUCAAAGCAAUGCCUGUGUUGGAAAAUGCCGAUGAAUACUGGACACCAUUAAGCCAUGACCAACUAGAAAACCAAAUUACUUUAUAUGUUCAACAUGUCUCAUUUUCCAUUCUUUCUAUUAAUGCUGAGAUAUAAAAUUCCAGCAGUGAUAAUUCCGGAAACACGACCUAAUUAAAAAUCAGUGUCAUGGAAUUUUGUGGGUAGCUAAAAUUAAUAUCUGCUGAACACUGCAAAGAUCCCACAAAGUCCUUGGGUCCUGGUGGGCUGGUACCUCUAAAUUUUAGCACCCAAAACAUAGAUGAUAGUUAUUCAAAUUACUAAGCUGCCAAUAUGAUGAACCGUGAAAGAAAGGCUCUGCUGACUUUAUUCAGUCACUCACUCUUGUUAUUAUGAUGGUAAAUGCCAAGAAUAGUAUAACCCGCUGACUACAUUUUCAGUUGGAAGCAGCACAAGAGAAGGAGAAGGAACUGGUCAAUGAAGUCCUGGAGCUACAAUGGCGGUAAUUAUCUCUUAUCUAAUCUGUCCAUAGUCUAAACCAAAAACAAGAAAAGAGCUCAGGAUUGAAAGUUUGGAGCACUGCAGGUUAUUGUGUGCACAGGAUGAGGUGCAGAGGCUCAAAGCAAAGGCAGCCCAGGUACCAACAUUUCACCCCACACGUGAUCUUGUAUCGGGGCAAAUUUUCCACAUGUUCACAUUGACAUUCUUCUAUUUGACAGAUUUGAUGAGUGAGUGUGGUUGGGGUUGUUGCUGAUUGAACUUCAAGCUGCGCAGUGAAGAUUAAGGACCGGUUAUCAUGUUAACAAAAGGAAUGUGUCAUUAUCGACUUUAAGUAGCUAUACUUCGGCAUGGGAGAGAAGAAAACAGCAACAUGAAGAUGAUAUACUUAGUAGGUUGCAAGCCUGCACAAAGGCAGCAGUGCUGGAGUUACUAUAUCUGUAUAUAAACAGUGAUGCUAUUUUUUUUUAGUGUUCAGUUACCAAAUUUUGUGCAUCCACACUGAGGAAUGGAUGACCGGGCCUCCUGUAGCCCCCUCAAAGAUAAAAUGAUAUGGCACUGAUUUUUUGUCGGAGCGCGCAUCAUGCCAUGCCAGGAGCAUAAAAUAUGGGGAAUACUACGUGUCGAUCCAUUUCAUUGCAGAGGGGAAUUACCACCUUGGGAUCUGGGAGUUCUCUUUUCUAUCCCCUAUCGGAAUUGCAUUGGUUCCUGUGUAAUCAUUGUGUUCUAAAUAGGCACUGAGUAUGAGUACUCUAUUCUACCAACUGAUGCAAGGAUAUCUUGGUGCAGCAGCAAGAUGUAGGAUUUGGUAUCCAUGAAAGAAUGCACUGGUGAAUCUGUCCGGAACUGCAUGUCAUCAUGAAUCCAACCCAAGCCAAUCACAUAAAACACGCUGGAACUCAUGUGUUACUAGUAAUUUUUGUGACACGAGCAAUAUAUGUUUACAUCUGUAAUUUACACCCACAACAUUAAGCUUUAAUCAACACCUAUCCUGUGCUAUACUAUGUCAAACUGGAUCACUCCGAUCCACUGCUAGGUCAGGCCUGUCUUCCUAUGGAUACACUCAUCUUGCACAUGAUACUUACAUCAGUCAGUGGAAGGAACGGGGUCGGCAGACCGACAAAGUCAGUCCACGUGGUGGUGUUCAUUCUGUUUCAAAGUAUAGCCGGUAUCCAGCAGGCUGAACUCGCGCUCCAAAACCCACGAAGAUUCGUUUGACUUGGUGGUGCUGAUCGUGUACUCGCGGAAGUAUCCAUCGUGAGUUACAACAUAGACUACAGUCCUGCAAAAAUUUAUGAUUGCUUAUGAAUACGAACUGGAAGGCAUAAAAUGGCAGCAUGCAUUUUGUGUGAAACUGCGUGUGAAUUUCUCACCUCACGGCCGGAAAUUUGGAAGAGUUUUGGGAGUAUUCUACACUAUGUACUGCUAGACAGCUGCAAUUCAGAAGGAUUAGAUUAGCAGGAAGAAUAGGGAAAGGGUCAGACAAAGCCAGAAGAUCUUAUAUGCACCUCUUGGUUUCUGCAGGGGCGAUGUUGUGAAUAACAUGAUGAUUAGCUGGAUCCAAAGCGUCGGAAAUUGCUUUGGAUCCAGGAAUUAUCGAACCGAGUAAUUUAUUCGUUUGGUUCCUGAGAAGUGAAGCACGUCAAAAUAUGUCCCGAAAAAAGUUGGUUCAGGAAUCACAAUAGCCAAGAAGGAAAUGUAACCUUCCAUUUCUGGCAGAGUCAAGAAAAAACAUGUGCAAAGAGCCUGACGAACUUGUGGCAGCAAGAACAUCAGGCCGAUCGAUGCACGGCCCAAAUGAGAGAGAGUAAAUCGUUGAUGGAUAUGCUCCCCGCCGAAAACUAUGCGACUGUUGAUGUAAGAAUUUAAAACGAUAUUAUUAGGCAGAAUGACAGAGUGCUUAUCAUGGUGGUAGAACAAAGAUCAAUAAUCUUACCUUAGUUGCUUGUGCCACGAUAUAUACCCUUAUCAUUGUGCCCUUCUCAGAAGCUGUUGCUAGGUACAUGCCAUUGGAAGAAAAUGCCAUUGCAGCUAAUGGCGACUCAUGGGCGUCUAUCUGUUGAUUGAUUACAAAGAGGAAAAACAUAUCAGUGAAAGACAUCUACAUAUCUUCAGAUUACUAGGGUUGAGAUUAAAGCCUCCAAAGUUGAAUGAAAACUGUAGGAAGACAAAUCCAGUCUAGAAAGUAUCCCUAUUCUGAUCUAUAUUCCAGAAAAAAAUAGGUUCCAAAAAAAAUUCACAUAUAUAUGAAUAAAUAAUGGUGCAUGCCACCAUAGUUGCACGCCAUUGCCUUUUCAGUGAUUCAAAAUAAUCAAUGAGAUCCAAAAUAACCAAUGAGUAGUUGGUUUUUACAGUGAUUCUCUCAAGAAAGAUCCAGAACUUGGAGAACUGUAAAUCCGUAAACGUAAUAAUGUUUACUCAGCUGUGCAAAUGAUACAGAAGGAACUAAACCUUCUGGGAAUUACCUGGCAUAUUAAUUCAGGUUCUGAUGCUUUAUACACUAAAGCAGAUCCUUUUGAUGUGCUUGCUGGGAUGGCCAAAUAACACCAUUCUGAAUUAGGAGCAAAUGCACAAAGGCCUGGGAUUUAAGGUUAACAACGUUAGCAGCAAAUAUGCGAAGCAAAUUUUGUUUCAAAGCAAAACUAGUUCAAAAGUACUUUCUGAUUUGCCCCCAGCCUCAGCUAUAUAAUAAUUGUCUGGAAUAGAAUGAGCCACAGUUUGAAAAUUUUGGGUAGGAUGCUUACCUUUAGGAUUAUGUACCGUGUCAAUUUCCUCCAAGAUACGAGUGCUGUUUAGAUCAUAAAUAAAGGUCUUGUCCUGCAAAACAACAAUAAGCCUGCACAUAAUGUGACAACCUUUUUUAUAAUAAAACUCAAUGAGAAAAAAACAUGCAUAACAACCCUGGUCCAAAACUCGGUAGUCAUACAAAAAUUACACAAGUAAAAAAUUAUGUCAUCACAGGAAGUCAGGAACUAAUGGAUAGAAGCAUCUUUUACAUUUUUUGCGAGGAAUAGAUAGAAGCAUAUGAUUAAGCGUCAUCAUCUCUGACAGCACUGUUAAUUAGAAUGGACCUGCUAGACUUCUCUUCUCAAAUUGCAGGAUAUAUAAAGAACAUAGUCAUCACUAAUGUACAACAGUCUUAAAUGUGCUCAGGCAAACUAGAGAUAGACCUAAUUAGUAACAGGUGAGUGAAACACUAGGGUACUCGGUCUCUUCUAGACAAGAAGGAUUGGUGGUGUACCUUGUUCUACUAAACCGAACAGCCAAAAUUGUACUCCUGAAGUUCAGAUCCUUCUUCGAGGCGCCUGUAAUGGUAUUGAACAGGCAAAGGCGGCGAGGGGACCGUGAAGGCUGCAAAAGGCAGUUUGGACCAACGACAUCAUCAUCCAUGUAAAACUCGAUUCGUCGAACCUCAACCGCACAACAGGGAACAAAUCGAUUCGUCGAACUUCAACCGCACAGCAGGGAACAAAUCGAACCGAAAACGAGGAAAAGAGCGCGUCAGAUACCUGUUCCCCAGUUCCGACCAUAGCGAUGAGGUUCGUAGCAAACCACAGCUCCACGACAUUCAGCCCUCCAAGUUCUGCAACCACGGAAGAGGCACAUACGGCUUGACGCCUUACUCCUUAUGAUAAAUUGCAUAGAGCGAUAUUUAUUCCCUACGAGGGUUUAAUCACUGAACAACGCGUUGACAGAAAGAUUUUGCAUUGCUAUCUGGUUCUACCCUCUACCAAUGCACAAUGAUUGUGUUCAGAACUAGUAUGAAUUAGGCAGGAAGCACAAAGCAACCUUGAUUGUUCAGCAUAAGCAUCUACGCAGAAGUAACCGAUUUUACACUAGGAGCUACACAAUCAACUUGUUGUAAGUACAAUUGGAUAUUCCGAGACUCGGAGUGAAGGACGGCUAUGAGGGGGGAAGCUCUUACUGUUGUCGUUGCAGAGCCUCCCGGUCCGGGCAUCGAAAAUCUUGAACCCUUCCUUGGUCCCGACGGAGAACAUGCUGAAACAAAGCACCGGGAAAACCCAGGGUCAGAAUCAGAGCUCCCCUCCGGCGAAUCCGACUCCCCCAGACCCGCCGGAAUCGAGCACGCGAGCGCAUACUCCGCCGCCCCGCUCCCGCACGUACCUGUUGUCCUGGUUGAAGGAGACGCAGAGAAUCUGGGGCCGGGACGAGCCGCUCGCCAUCGCCGCCGGCGCCGCCGCCUGCUCGCUCGCCGGAAUCGAUUCCUGUGGGGCGAAAGUUCGGAUUUUCCUUUUCUCCUCCGCGGCUGAAGGGGAGGUUCGGUUGCGCCGCCUGCGUGCGUGUCCGGGAAUAAAGUAGUGAAAAUAUUCGGCGGUGGGAUGGCUGGACGGACGGAUGCUUUACGUGUAGCUUCUUCCCCGUUUCGUAGCCCAGUUGGGCGCCCUAGCGUGCGCCGUGGACGGAUUAGAAGCUUCGGUUUAACGGUAAAACCAACGGAAGCCGUUUUGGCAACGGCCCGUACUCCUUUUUUUCUUGCGAUGUUCAGACUACUCGAGAAGGCAAAAUUUCGUGUUUUGACCCUUUGAUACAAAUUCAGGAUCAACCUCAAUUUAAAAAAAUUCGGGAUUUGACCCUUUUGCUACCGUCAGGGGGGCUGCCGGUAGGGUUAUACAGCCUACCGCCAGGCCCCUGGCGGUAGGGUGCGACGGAGGGGGACGGCCGCCGUCUCCGCGUGGGUUUUCGAGGUAAAAACCUUCUGUAACGAGAAAAUCGAGUGCUCUGGCGGUAGGGUCAACCUACCGCCAUAUGGGCUGGCGGUAGGCUAUCUGAUCCUACCACCAAGGUCGUUGGCGGUAGGGUCUUGCCUAUUUCUAAGUUCAAUUUCUUUCUUAUUUUCAAAAACAACAGAUCUCAAACUAUGAUAUAGAGUCAAAAUAACAAAUCUCAAACAAUUAAACUUGGGCAUCACAUACACAUGUCAUACGGAGUUUCACAUAAACUUAGUUCAAAUAGCAAACUUAGUUCCACAUAGCAACGGAGUUUCACAAAUAGCAAACACAUACUCCAUCCGUUCGGAAUUACUUGUCGCAGAAAUGGAUGUAUCUAGACGUAUUUUAGUUCUAGAUACAUCCAUUUCCGAGACAAAUAAUUCCGAACGGAGGGAGUAGUUCAGAUAGCAAACACAUAGUUUCACAACCACUAGACUUUUCAACUACAACCAAGUAUCGAAUAGCAGAAUUUAAGUCAUCCUUCCCCUCUUGCUCUUGGAGGCACGAUCCCCGUUCCUCUUUGAACGAGUCUCUUCAGUGUUCUUCUUGAACCGUCGAGGAACCGGUCUCUGGAAAGGGUUCGGACUUAGCAAAUCCUUCUUCAGAUUCCUUUUCGACAGCUGAGGUGCUUGAGAUGAUUGAGUUGUUGGAGGUCCAUAAUCUUCAUCCUACUCCUCCUCUUCGUUGCUCUCAUCCUCCUCAUCCCUUUCUUCAUGUGUGGCCUCCUCCUCCUCCUCCUCCUCAACAAACCUAGACGACGAGGGAGCAUGGCUCGAUGAGGCGAUGUGACCCUAUGUGGCUACAGGCUGAUGAACUUCAACUGACCCAGCUCCAGCACACCCAAGCAGCCCUACCAGCUUGCGACAACGCUUCACGAACUUCUGCACUCACAAUGAAACAAGGGCAUAAUAACUAUCAAGUUUAUGAUUGCAAGUGAAGAAGAUGCAUUUGUUCCGAGGAGGCUGAAAUUGUACCUUCAUCGUCCCCCUCAUUUUGUCCUCAGAUUGUACGCUCCCGGGGGCAUCACCUAGUGCAUCUGAGGCUUCAAAGAUGCAUCUGUUCAGUUCACCAGACUGCAACGGCAUAAGUCAGUCACGAUGACGAAUACAAUAAUUUAAAUAGAACCUCUCGAUUUAAACUUAUCACUUUGUUGAUGAGGGGUGCAAACUCCCUAAAUCCAUUGUGCAGGUCUCUGAUGCCGGUCUGGUAGGCCUCCUCCUCGGGGUCAUUGAGGGAGUCCUGGAUUAGGGGGUGUCCGGAUAGCCGGACUACCGUCAUCGGCCGAACUAUCAUCGGCCGGACUAUCAUCAUCGACCGGACUCCAAGACUAUGAAGAUACAAGAUUGAAGACUUCGUCCCGUGUCCGGAUGGGACUUUCCUUGGCGUGGAAGGCAAGCUUGGCGAUACGGAUAUGUAGAUCUCCUACCAUUGUAACCGACUUUAUGUAACCCUAGCCCUCUCCGGUGUCCAUAUAAACCGGAUGGCUCUAGUCCGUAGGACAACAAACAACCUCAACCAUUACAAUCAUACCAUAGGCUAGCUUCUAGGGUUUAGCCUCCUUGAUCUCGUGGUAGAUCCACUCUUGUAAACAUCCACAAUAUCAAUAUCAAUCAAGCAGGACGUAGGGUUUUACCUCCAUCAAGAGGGCCCGAACCUGGGUAAAACAUCGUGUCCCUUGUCUCCUGUUACCAUCCGCCUAGACACACAGUUCGGGACCCCCUACCCGAGAUCCGCCGGUUUUGACACCGACAUUGGUGCUUUCAUUGAGAGUUCCUCUGUGUCGUCACCGAUAGGCUUGAUGGCCUCUUCAAUCAACAACGACGCGGUCCUGGGUGAGACUUUUCUCCCCGGACAGAUCUUUGUAUUCGGCGGCUUCGCACUGCGGGCCAACUCACUUGGCCAUCUGGAGCAGAUCGAAAGCUACACCCCUGGCCGUCAGGUCAGGUUUGGAAGUCUAAACUUCACGGCCGAUAUCCGCGGGGACUUGAUCCUCGAUGGAUCCGAGCCGCAGCCAAGUGCGCCGCACUGUCACGAUGGGCACGACGUAACUCUGCCGCCGGACAGCGCUUUGGAGGCCGCACGCGAAUCCGCUCCGACCCAUAGUCCGGAGCCGAUCGUGCAGAUCGAGGACGGAUGGCUGGACACCGCCUCGGGAGCUGCAACCUCUACGGCGAUGGAGCCAAACACUGACCUUGUCCCGCAUAAAGCUCAUGACUCCGAGGUGCCGGACUCCCUACCGGACUCCGAACCUCCUGCGACCCUGCCAGUCGAAUCCGAUUGGGCGCCGAUCAUGGAAUUCACCGCUGCGGACAUCUUUUAGCACUCACCCUUCGGGGACAUCUUAAAUUCGCUGAAGCAUCUCUCGCUAUCCGGAGAGCCCUGGCCGGACUACGGCCAGGAUGGUUGGGACGCGGACGACGAAGAAAUUCAAAGCCCACCCACCACCCACUUCGUAGCCACCGUCGACGAUCUAACCGACGUACUCGACUACGACUCCGAAGACAUCGACAGUAUGGACGACGAUGCCGGAGACUAUCAAGAACCAGUGCCUACGGGACAUUGGAAGACCACCUCGUCAUACGACAUAUACAUGGUGGACACCCCAAAAGACGGGGAUGGCGAAGAAGCAGCGGAGGCCGAUUCCUUAAAGAAACAGCCCAAGCGCCGACGUCAGCGGCGCCGCUCUAAAUCCCGCCACAGCAAGAAUGGAGAUUCCAGCACAGGAGAUAAUAACACCCCAGAAAGUGCCGAAGAUAACCCCCUCCAGCAAGAUUCAGCGCAGGAGGAGGCAGAAGCAAGCCCUCAAGAGAGGGCGACAGACGAAGAGGUCGAGGAUGAUAAUUACAUACCUCCCUCCAGAGACGAGGCAAGCCUCGACGACGACGAAUUCAUCGUGCCUGAGGAUCCCGUCGAACAAGAGCGUUUCAGACGCAGGCUAAUGGCCGCAGCAAACAGUCUAAAGAAAAAGCAGCAACAGCUUCAAGCUAAUCAAGACCUGCUGGCCGACAGAUGGACCGAGGUCCUCGCGGCCGAAGAGUAUGAACUCGAACGCCCCUCCAAAAGCUACCCAAAACGCAAGUUGCUCCCCCGACUAGAGGAGGAAGCAUACAAACCGGCAGCACUAGCGCACAAUACGGCAGACCGACCACCUCGUGGCCGCGACAGAGAGGCAUGUAAGCCCUCCACCAAAACCGUAUCCCGGCACCGCUCAAAAAGCGCGAAGCCACGGGGGAACGCGCUGAACUUGCGGGACAUAUUGGAGGACAAGGCAAGACAAUCCAGAUCUAUCUAUGGAUCACGUGGGCGCCCCAAGACCCACGACGAAUACCGUCGCGCCGGAUACAACUACUCCGGCCGGGCCGAACACAGCAGACAACGCUCUCUUGAGCUACGUCGCGAUAUUGCUCAAUACAAAGGCGCCGCACACCCACUAUGCUUCACUGACGAAGUAAUGGAUCAUCAAAUCCCUGAAGGGUUUAAACCCGUUAACAUCGAGUCGUACGAUGGCACAACAGACCCCGCGGUUUGGAUUGAGGAUUAUCUCCUUCAUAUACAUAUGGCCCGCGGCGACGAUCUUCACGCCAUCAAAUAUCUCCCGCUCAAGCUUAAAGGACCAGCUCGGCAUUGGCUUAACAGCCUGCCCGUAGAGUCAAUUGGAUGCUGGGAAGACCUGGAAGCCGCAUUCCUCGACAACUUCCAGGGCACGUUGUGCGACCACCGGACGCAGAUGACCUAAGCCACAUAAUCCAGCAGCCAGAUGAAUCGGCCAGGCAAUUCUGGACACGGUUCUUAACAAAGAAAAAUCAAAUCGUCGACUGUCCGGAUGCGGAGGCCCUCGCUGCCUUCAAACAUAACAUCCACGACGAGUGGAUGGCCCGGCACCUAAGACAGGAGAAGCCGAAAUCCAUGGCAGCCCUCACAUCACUCAUGACCCGCUUCUGUGCGGGAGAGGAUAGCUGGCUAGCUCGCAGCAACAAUCUCAGCAAAAAUGCUGGCAGUCCGGAUACCAAGGACCGCAAUGGUAGGUCGCGUCAAAACAAAAACAAACGCCACAUUAACGGCGACAGCAAUGAGGAUACGACAGUCAAUGCCGGAUUCCGAGGCUCCAAACCCGGUCAACAGAAGAAGCCAUUUAAAAGAACCACUCCGGGCCCGUCCAAUUUGGACCGAAUACUCGACCGCUCUUGUCAAAUACAUGGAACCCCCGAAAGGCCAGCUAAACACACCAACAAACAUUGUUGGGUAUUCAAGCAGGCAGACAAAUUAAUUGCCGAAAACAAUGACAAGGGGCUACAUAGCGAUGACGAGGAAGAGACCCGGCCGCCGAACAACAGAGGACAGAAGGGAUUCCCCCCUCAAGUUCGGACGGUAAAUAUGAUAUACGCAACGCAUAUACCCAAGAGGGAGCGGAAGCAUGCACUAAGGGACGUAUACGCGAUGGAGCCAGUCGCCCCAAAAUUCAACCCAUGGUCCUCUUGCCCGAUCACUUUCCAUCGAAGAGACCAUCCGACCAGUAUCCGCCAUGGCGGAUUCGCCGCAUUGGUUUUAGACCCAAUCGUUGAUGGUUUUCACCUCACGAGAGUCCUGAUGGACGGCGGCAGUAACCUGAACCUGCUUUAUCAGGAUACAGUGUGCAAGAUGGGCAUAGACCCUUCAAGGAUUAAACCUACAAAGACGACCUUCAAAGGCGUCAUACCAGGUGUUGAGGCCAAUUGUACGGGCUCAGUCACACUGGAAGUGGUCUUCGGAUCCCCGGAUAAUUUCCGAAGCGAGGAGUUAAUCUUCGAUAUAGUCCCGUUCCGCAGUGGCUAUCACGCUCUGCUCGGACGAACUGCGUUCACAAAAUUCAACGCGGUGCCGCAUUAUGCAUACCUUAAGCUCAAGAUGCCAGGCCCUCGUGGAGUCAUCACGGUCAAUGGAAACACGGAACGCUCCCUCCGAACGAAGGAACAUACAGCGGCUCUCGCGGCAGAAGUACAGAGCAGCCUUUUAAGGCAAUUCUCGAGUCCGACCGUUACACGACCGGACACAGCCAAACGCGCCCGGAGCAACAUCAACCAAGACCACCUGGCACGUUCCGAGCACGCGUAGCAGUGCGGCCUCAACCCCAGCCCUCGCACAAUUGCAAGACAAACUCUCCGCGUACAUAAUUACGCCCUGGAGAUACCAUGGGCAUAGGGGGAGAGGCACGACCACAACAGACCCAGAGUGCGGUUCGACCACACCAGGGGCUCCCAAGUGUCUCACUCUUUUUAUCUUUUAUUUUUCUCUUCUUUAUAUAUACAGGACUCUGUCCGGCGGCGAACCUGCCGAACUCAUGAUGCAACAGCCAGGGAGGGACAAAGGCUGCGACGAACACUCAGGUGGUCUCCAUUACGAGCAUUAAAUUUGUUAAAUACACCAUUCUGCGGCCUACCCCUGGAGGGAGACGCCUUUAAUUCGUCCAAUCCCUUGCUUUCCGCACUAUUUGUAUCAUUCCGCACUCAUAGCAGACCUUCUUGAAUAAAAUGCAGCACUUUUUGCCCAUAACUGCAUUACUUUAUAUAUAUGUUCAUUUACGACAUGUUGCAUCCGUAUAUUUUGGUACGGCCAAAUACACCAGGGGCUUAUGUUCCCCGUAUUAUGGUGUGAUAAAGUCCGAACACUUUCACAAGUGCGGCACCCCGAACUUAUAGCAUUAUAUGAAUCGGCUCCGAAUCAUGUCUUGGGUCAAUAGUUGGGUUUGCCCGGCUCCCAUGUUUGGCACCUUACAUUCCGUUCUAUCGGCUAAGGUAGCACUGGGAGAACCACUGCGAUUGCGCCCCGGUUGAGCCGGGUUAACGCCUCAGUGGAGAAAGCUAAAACUGACUGUCAUGAUAAGGCGAGAGACUGGUCGCUGUUCGAGAGGUUUUUUCGGGUCCUUAAAGACCUACGCCGCUUCGAGCGAAGUUCCGGAUAAUAUCCGACGAAGGCGUGGAUAGCACCCCAAAUUCGGUCUUCCGAAUACUAGGGGCUUCGCCGAAAUUUAAAAUUAUAGAAUUCUAUGGCUAAGUGAGAGUGUUCAAGCACUAUAAGUCCGGUUGCCUUGUUCGUUGUGUUGAGCGCCUCCCUAGAUGGACCCAACAAUGGGAACAAGAGUGCUCAAGUUUAUCCCGAACACCCCAGCACUCGCGGCGUGGGGGAUGAAGCCGACGACUUGCCAUCUCUCAGAUUUAAUAAACGGCCGCACAGAAGGUAAUAUUUUAAAUUAAACAAGCAUUGCUUAGCGCAUAUGAACAAAGUUUUCAGCGCACAGGAUAAUACAUAGCGAGUUUACUCAAUAAUUACAUCUCGGGGGCACUCAUCCGCAAUCUUGCGGGCACCCUUCAGGACAGUCCUAUAGUACAUCUCGGGCGUACGAUAUUCCUUGCCCGCUGGUGGCGCGUCAGUGAUUAGCUUCUCCGCAUCCAGCUUGCCCCAAUGCACCUUUGCGCGGGCAAGGGCCCAACGAGCACCUUCAAUACAGGCGGAGCGCUUGAUGACCUCCACCCAGGGGCAUGCAUCCACCAGCCGCCGCACGAGGCCGAAGUAGCUCCCAGGCAUGGCCUCUCCAGGCCACAGCCGAACUAUGAGGCCCUUCAUGGCCUCCUCAGCUACCUUGUGGAGUUCGACCAGCUGCUUCAGCUGGUCGCUAGGGGGCACCGGAUGGCCGGCCUCAGCAUACUGAGACCAGAAGACCUUCUCCGUUGAGCUUCCCUCCUCACCACGGUAGAAUGCGGCGGCAUCGGAUACACUACGAGGCAAAUCUGCAAACGCCCCUGGAGAGCUCCGAAUUCGGGUAAGUGUCAGGUAGUUUACAUUAACAUGCUUGCUUUGCAUGAAAAAUGCCUUACCCGCCGCUAUUUUCUUCACAUCUUCCACCUCCUGAAGGGCCUUAUGGGCCUCGGCCUUGGCGGCUUUGGCACUUUCGAGAGCCGAGGCAAGCUCGGACUCUCGAGUCUUUGAGUCACGCUCCAAACUCUCAUGCUUUUCCAUGAGAGCCUAGAGCUCUUGCCGAACCGCCGCCACCUGCGCCUCCUGCUUUUCUCGCUCUGUCCGUUUCGCGGCCGCACUGCGUUCGGCCGCGGACACGGCCUCCUUCAGGGUUUCCACCUUGUUCGUGGCCCUUGCAGUACCCAUGUUAUCCUUGUUAUUCUUUUAUUGCAACCUAAAUCCUUUUCUGUAAGGUAACUAUUCAAAGUGGUGUUACUCACCUUCUUUGUCCUCGAGCUGCUUCUUGGCAUGGCCAAGCUCUUGCUCGGACCGCUCGAGAUCUUGCUUUAAUGCACCAACCUCCGCAGUCAGUGCGGCAGAGGUCAGCAGCGCAGCCUGCAACCCAUAUUGACAUAACUUUUUAGCAACCCUGCGUAUAUCUUUUUAGAUCCUCAGUCCGGCUUUUCUUUCCGAACACCGAACUGAGCAUCAGGGGCUACUGUCUAUGCAGUAUUACAUUGCAUAUUUUAACUUCUUACCUCAAAGCCUGAUAGAAGGCUACUGCAGGCUUCGGUCAGCCCGCUCUUGGCGAGCUGUACCUUCUGAAUCACCGCACUCAUAAUAGUGCGGUGUUCUUCCUCAACGGAAGCGCUCUGGAGUGCCUCCAACAAAUUGUCCGGCGCCUCCGGUUGGAAGGAAGCCACCGGCGUCACGGUCUUGCCCUUCUUGCGAAGGGGCCGCCGGCCGGACUCCGGAACCACUGCGGGUUCCGACGUGGAGUCCGGCGCAAAGUCCGGGAGGCCGCCUUGUGGCGCCUCCGGAGCCUCCCCCUGAUGGGUACCUUCUUGGGACCCCACCUCGGUGUCCUCAGUGGCGCGAGGGGUGGAGGCCGUCGGGAUGGAAUCCACAUCCAACGGAGCCAACGACCCGCUCGAUGAAGCGGGGAGAUCAUCAUCAGCCGGAUUGCAGGCAGUAUGCGGCAUUAGAAGGACGCUAUGUGACACAAAUUAUAAACCAUUCAGGAAUCCGGAUACUUACGAUCUCGCCGGAGGCCUGGCCCUUGAAGGCCAUUCUUCCUCGCCAACGUUGAUGUUGGCGGAGCUGUCCGGGGGAAUAGUCCUUCCCCUCUUGGACCCUUCGACCUCCCCUGUUGGGGAAGCCUUCCUCUUCCUCUCUCCCUCCUCUGGGAGAGAGUCCUCUUUCUCCUCCUCGUUUUCGGGGGAGGAGUCCGCCUCGGAGUCGUCGGACACCUGAAAACGGGAACUCUUUCAAGUACCCGUGGCGUCCUUCUUGGCCUUCUUCUCCGGCACCACGUGCGGUGCCGGAACCAGCAGCCUCGCUAGAUGGGCGUCUACUGGGUUUUCUGGCAUGGGAGCCGGGCAGAUGAGCUGCUCCGCCUUCUUCAUCCAGUCCUGUCAAAGGAAAAGGGGAAAUUAAAACCCGCAUAGAGUCAAACUAUGAAAAGCAAGUGUCCCGUAAGGGGUAGAAUCACUUACCUCGUCAGCUUGGCGCUGCGAGCGAAAUCCGCGGUCUUCGGUCGCGGAUGCGGGGGCUUCGGCGCCCUUAAACAGCACCCUCCAGGCGCCUUCGUACGUCGUGUCGAAGAGCCCGCUCAACGCUUGGUGCUGUUCCGGAUCGAACUCCCACAGAUUGAAUGCCCGCUCUUAGCAUGGGAGAAUCCGGCGGACGAGCAGGACUUGGACCACAUUAACCAGCCUGAGCUUCUUCACCAGCUUCUGGAUACAGGCUUGGAGUCCCGUCACCUCCUCCGAACUACCCCACAGCAAGCCCUUCUUUUUCCAGGAGGUGAGCUGCGUGGGGAUACCAGAUCUGAACUCGGGGGCCGCCGCCCACGUAGGGUCGCGCGGCUCGGUGAUAUAGAACCACCCCGAUUGCCAUCCCUUGACGGAUUCCACGAAGGCCCCUUCGAACCAAAGGACGUUGGGCAUCUUGCGCAACAUGGCGCCUCCGCACUCCGCUUGAGUGCCCUUCACUACCUUCGGCUUGACAUUGAAGGUCUUGAGCCACAAGCCGAAGUGGGGCUGGAUGCGGAGGAAGGCCUCGCACACGACGAUAAACGCCGAGAUGUUGAGGAUGAAGUUCGGCGCCAGAUCAUGGAAAUCCAGGCCGUAGUAGAACAUGAGCCCCCGGACAAAGGGAUGCAAUGGGAAGCCCAGUCCGCGGAGGAAGUGGGGAAGAAAUACUACCCUCUCAUGGGGCCUGGGGGUGGGGAUGAGCUGCCCGUCGUCGGGCAGCCGGUGCGCGAUAUCGCCGGACAGAUAGCCGGCGCUGCGCAGUCUUUCGAUGUGCUCCUCCGUAACGGAGGAGGUCAUCCACUUGCCUCCCGCUCCGGACAUGGUCGGAGAAGGUUGAGACGAGAUGCGCGAACUUGGGCGCUGGAGCUCGAGUGCGCGGAGAUGGAUAAGCAAAGGAGGAUGAAGGCGUAGGUGAAAAGGUGAAUCCUUAUCCCUUAUAUAGGCGGACGAAUGUGUCCCCCACCAGCCUGGUAAAACUCGCUUAUCUCCCAAGCGCCACCAUCAAUGGCGCGGUUGGGUUACCCACGUCCGUAUUGAUGAGAAUCCCGGAUUAAGGGGGAACAUGAUCUCUGCUUCGACAAGACGUGCCAAGGAAACCGCUUCGCUAAAUGCGCUGAGGUGGUAAAAUAAAAAACGAUUCAAGUAAUGGCUUGGCAGUGGUGGGAUGUCAUGCCGCGAAAAACGUCAGCAGAUUGAACUUGUGUAUAUAUUAUUCUCUCUACGGUGGAAUGUGGAAUUUAUUUUGCAGAGCCGGACACUAUCCUGGUGUUCACAAUCUUCUAUGAAUUAUUCAGAGGAGGAACCCGCCUUGCAAUGCCGAACAAUAUGCGCGCCGGACUCAUCGUCAUUGAAGCCUGGUUCAGGGGCUACUGAGGGAGUCCUGGAUUAGGGGGUGUCCGGAUAGCCGGACUACCGUCAUUGGCCGAACUAUCAUCGGCCGGACUAUCAUCAUCGACCGGACUCUAAGACUAUGAAGAUACAAGAUUGAAGACUUCGUCCCGUGUCCGGAUGGGACUUUCCUUGGCAUGGAAGGCAAGCUUGGCGAUACGGAUAUGUAGAUCUCCUACCAUUGUAACCGACUCUAUGUAACCCUAGCCCUCUCCGAUGUCUAUAUAAACCGGAUGGCUCUAGUCCGUAGGACAACAAACAACCUCAACCAUUACAAUCAUACCAUAGGCUAGCUUCUAGGGUUUAGCCUCCUUGAUCUCGUGGUAGAUCCACUCUUGUAAACAUCCACAAUAUCAAUAUCAAUCAAGCAGGACGUAGGGUUUUACCUCCAUCAAGAGGGCCCGAACCUGGGUAAAACAUCGUGUCCCUUGUCUCCUGUUACCAUCCGCCUAGACACACAGUUCGGGAACCCCUACCCGAGAUCCGCCGGUUUUGACACCGACAGUCAUCCCUCUCCAGCUCCACGAUUUAUUUCGCUGUCCACCGAGGCCUGAGACGAAGACGGUGCUUCUGGCCAUCAUCGUACCACUUCAUGUGUCGCUCCACGUAAGCAUUCCAGUCAGUCACUCUCCUCUCCCCGUCUUUCUUGUACCUCCGUCAGUUCCACUCCGUCACAUGAGUUUUAUGAUGCUCUCCCCAGUCUGUGAUCGACCGAUUCUUCUGUCGGCUCAUCCUGCAAGGCAUUAGCAAUAAGAAACAUCAAACAAAGUCGAACGCAAUGAAUUCAUGGAUGGGCACGAAGAACAAGCGCGUGCACUCACAAGUGGAGCGCAUGGCCGCCGGUAUCGGUGGGCUGGCCCGGUGGGGUAUGCUGAUACAUCCCAAACUGCGUGGCCACGCGGUGUGGCAAGUGCCACUCGACGGCGUACACAUAGAUCAUGGGCAUGAUGCACCAUCAGAGACCACGGUCCUCAUCGCACAUCACAUUCAGAUCAAAGUCCCACUCUCGAUCAUGAUACGGCCACCAAUUUACCUAUUACAUAUACGGUGGUAAGUUGACACUCUCGGUCAAAAGUGGAAUCAAAGAGAAAUGUGUUUAGCGAGUUCAUAUACCUGCCAAUGCAUCAAAGCGUCCAACUCGUUGGUGUAGGUCUUGUACGAAGUCUUGUUUAGGCCCGUGUAGAGUUUGACAACGUCCCACUCGUAACCACCAUGGGGUGUCGAGCCUCGUCGCCGUCUUUGCUAUAGGCACCCCAUGGGCGUCUUGGCAGCUUUUCAGGAUGCCCCGAACUGUGCGUCUAGGUGGAUGGUAACAGGAGACAAGGGACACGAUGUUUUUACCCAGGUUUGGGCCCUCUCGAUGGAGGUAAAACCCUACUCCUGCUUGAUUAGUAUUGAUGAUAUGGGUAGUACAAGAGUAGAUCUACCACGAGAUCAGAGAGGCUAAACCCUAGAAGCUAGCCUAUGGUAUGAUUGUUGCUCGUCCUAUGGACUAAAACCCCCUGGUUUAUAUAGACACCGGAGAGGGCUAGGGUUACACAAAGUCGGUUACAAUGGGAGGAGAUCUACAUAUCCGUAUCGCCAAGCUUGCCUUCCACGCCAAGGAAUGUCCCAUCCGGACACGGGAUGAAGUCUUCAAUCUUGUAUCUUCAUAGUCCAGGAGUCCGGCCAAUGGUCAUAAUCCGGUCAUCCGGACACCCCCUAAUCCGGGACUCCCUCAGUAGCCCCUGAACCAGGCUUCAAUGACGACGAGUCCGGCGCGCAUAUUGUCUUCGGCAUUGCAAGGCGGGUUCCUCCUCCGAAUACUUCAUAGAAGAUUUUGAACACAAGGAUAGUGUCCGGCUCUGCAAAAUAAGUUCCACAUACCACCGUAGAGAGAAUAAUAUUUACACAAAUUCAAUCUACUGACGUAUUCCGUGGCGUGACAUCACACCACGGCCAAGCCUUUAUUCGAAUCGUUUUUACUGUCCCACCUCAGUGCGUUUAGCGAGGCGGUUUCCUUGGCACGUCUUGUCAAAGCAGAGAUUGUGUCCCCUUAUUCCGGGAUUCUCAUCAAUACGGGCGUGGGUAACCAACCGCGCCAUUGAUUACGAUGCUUGGGAGAUAAGCGAGUUUUACCAGGCUGGUGGGGACGCAUAGCUUCAUCCGCCCAUAUAAGGGGAUAAGGAUCCACCUUUUUACCUAUGCCUUCUUCCUCCUUUGCUCAUCCAUUUCCGCACACUCAAGCUCCAGCGCCCAAGUCCGCACAUCCCACCUCAAUCUUCUCCAGCCAUGUCCGGAGCGGGAGGCAAGUGGAUGGCCUCCUCCGUCACGGAGGGGCACAUCAAAAAGCUGCGGAAGGCCGGAUACUUGUCCAACGACAUCGUGCAUCGGCUCCCCGACAAGGGGCAGCUCAUCCCCACCCCCAGGCCCCAUGAAAGGGUGGUGUUCCUCACCCACUUCCUCCGCGGACUAGGUUUUCCACUUCACCCAUUUUUCCGGGGGCUCAUGUUCUACUACGGCCUGGAUUUCCACGAUCUGGCCCCGAAUUUCAUCCUCAACAUCUCGGCAUUCAUCGUCGUGUGUGAGGCCUUCCUCUGCAUCCAGCCCCACUCCGGCUUAUGGCUGAAGACCUUCAAUGUCAAGCCGAAGGUAGUGGGCGGCCGCCAAGCGGAGUGCGGAGGUGCCAUGGUGGGCAAGAUGGCCAACGUCCUAUGGCUCAAGGGCUCCUUCAUGGAGACCAUAAAGGGGUGGCAAUUGGGGUGGUUGUACAUCACCGAGCCGCGCGAUCCUAAAUGGGCAGCGACCCCCGAAUUCCGAUCUGGCUUCCCUACACGGCUCACCUCCUGGAAAGAGAUGGGCUUGACGUGGGGUAAUUCGGAAGAGCUGACCGGACUUCAAACCUGCAUCCAAACCCUGGUGAACAAGAAGCUCAAGCUUGUCAACGUAGUCCAGGUCAUGCUCAUCCGCCGGAUCCUCCCGUGCCAACAACGGGCCUUCAACUUGUGGGAGUUUGAUCCGGCAUAGCACCAAACCUUGAGCAGGCUCUUCGACACUACGCAUGAAGAUGCCUGGAAGGUGCUGUUCAAGGGCGCCGAGGCUCCUGCAUCCGCUACCAAAGAUCGCGGAUUCAGCUCGCAGCGUCAAGCCAGCGAGGUAAGCUACUUUACCCUUUACGGGACUCUUGUUUUCCAUAGUUUGACUCUAUGCGGGAUCUAAACUCCCUUGCCUUUGACAGGACUGGCAGAAGACGUCCGGGCAGAUUGACUGUCCGGCUCCCUUGCCAGAAGACCCAGCAGACGCCCGAUUAACGGGGCUGCUGGUUCCGGCACCUCACGUGGUGCCGGAGAAGAAGGCCAAGAAGAAGGCCACGGGAACUCGAAGGAGUUCCCAUCGCCAGGUGUUGUCGGACUCAUCAUCUGAUGACUCCGAGGCGGACUCCUCCCGUGAAGACGAGGAGGAGGGAAAAGAGGCCUCUCCCCCAGCGGGGGGAGAGAAGAAAAGGAAGGCCGCCCCAACUGGGGAGGCCGGAGGGUCCAAGAAGGGAAGGACCCUCCCUCCGGACUACUCCACCAACGCCGACGACGGCGAGGAGGAGUGGCCACCGAGGGCUAAGCCCCUGGUGAAAUCGUAAGUGUCCGGAUACCAGAAUAACUCAUGGCGUUUCAUUUGCCGCACAGAAUCUCUUAACGCCGAAUAUAACCCUACAGCCCGCCCAAAGACGGGCUCGAUGCUUCGACGAGCGGCUCCCUGGAUUCGUCGGACGUGAAUAGCACCUCGCUUCCGGCUGCCUCCUCUCCUCGCGCUGCGGAUGACACCGAGGUGGGGUCCCAAAAGGGGCCCAACCAGGAGGAGGUGGUCCAGGAGGCGCCGCAAGGCAACCUCCUGGACUCCAGGCGCAAGGGGGAUAAAACCCCAAAGGGCUCUAAGUCCGGCCCUGGGCCGGACUCCACACCGGAACCUUCAAUGGUUCCGGAGUCUGACAGGCAGCCCCUUCAUAAGAAGGGCAAGACUGCGACAUCGGUGACCUCCGUCCAACCAGAGGCACCGGAUAAUUUGCUGGAGGCGCUUAACGGCGCCUCCAUCGACGAGGAGCACCGCACUGUUAUGAGUGUGGUGAUCCAGAAAGUUUAGUCCGCCAAAAGUGGGCUGACUGAAGCCUGUGCUAGCCUUCUAACAGGCUUUGAGGUAAAUAUUUAAGAUAUCUAAAAAUGUUACCACAUAGACAGUAGCCCCUGAUGCUCAGUUUGGUGUUCGGAAAGAAAAGCUGAACUGAGGAUCUAAAAGAUGUACGCAGGAGUCUAACAUAGGUAUGUUAAUAUGGGAAUGCAGGCUGCGCUGCUGACCUAUGCCACACUGACUGCGGAGGUCAAUGCAUUGAAGCAGAGCCUCAAGCGGUCCGAGAACGAGCUCAGCCUUGCCAAAAAGCAGCUCGAGGACAGGGAAGGUAAGUAAUACCUUAUGGAAGUAUAUAAAAGAUGUGGUUGCCAAAAAUGACAGGAAUAACGUGAGUAUUGCAGGGGCCACGAACGAGGUGGCGACCCUGAAGGAAGCGGUGUCCAAGGCCGAAAGCAAUGCGGCCGCGGAGCGCACCGAGCGAGAGAAGCAGGAGGCGCGGGUGGCGGAGGUGCGGCAAGAGCUCCAGGCUCUUGUGGAAAAACACGAGAGUUUGGAGCGUGACUCAAAUACUCGAGAGUCCGAGCUCGCCUCGGCCCUUGAGAGCACCAAGGCCGCUAAGGCCGAAGCCCAAAAAGCCCUCCAGGAAAUUGAGGCAUUGAAGAAGAUAGCGGCGGGUAAGGCAUUCUUUAUGCAAAGCAAGCACGUGAAAGUGAAUUAUCUGUUACUUACCUGAAUCCAGAGAUCUCCAGGAGCAUUCACAGAUCUGCCCCGCAGUGUGUCCAAUGCUACCGCGUUCUACCGAGCCGAGGAGGGGAGUUCGACGGAGAAGGUGUUCUGGUCUCACUAUGCUGAGGCCGGUCACCCGGUGCCCUUGAGCGACCAGCUGAAGCAGCUGGUCGAGCUCCAUAAGGUGGCCGAACAGGCCAUGAAGGGCCUCAUAGUUCGGCUAUGGCUUAAGGAAGCCAUGCCUGGGAGCUACUUCGGGCUGGUGAGGCGGCUGGUGGACGCCUGUCCAUGGAUUGAAGUCGUCAAGCGCUCCGUCUGCAUCGCAGGUGCCCGUAGGGCCCUUGCCCGUGCUAAAGUGCACUGGGGCAAGAUGGACGCUGAGAAGCUUGUGACGGACAGACCACCGCUGGGCAAGGAGUAGGCGUCCUAAAGGGUGCCCGCUUUAUAGCGGGUGAAUGUUCCAAAGAUGUAAUUUUUGAGUAAACUCGCAUUUGUUAUCCUGUACGCUGAAAACUUGUUCAUAUGCGCUAAGCAACGCUUGUGAAUUUAAAAUAUUACCUUCUGUGUGGCCGUUUAUUAAAUUUGAGAGAUGGCGAGUCAUCGGCUGCUGCCCCCAUGCCACGAGUGCUGGGGUGUUCGGGAUAAACUUGAGCGCUCUUUUUCCCAUUCUUGGGUCCUUCGAGGGAGGCGCUCAAUGCAAUGAACGAGGCAACCGGACUAUAAUGCUUGAACACUCUCACUUAGCCAUAGAAUUCUAUAAUUUUAAAUUUCGGCGAAGCCCCUGGUAUUCGGAAGACCGAGUUUGGGGCGCUAUCCACGCCUGGGCCAGACAAAGCUGACUCCUCGCUCUAAGCGGCAUAAGUCUUUAGGGACUCGAAAACCUCUCGAACAGCGACCGGCUCUCGCCCUAUCAUGACGGUCAGUUUUAGCUUUCUCCACUGAGGUGCUUAACUCAGCUCAACCGGGGCACAAUCGCAGUGGUUCUAAGGUACCAAAACAUGGGAGCCGGGCAAACCCAACUAUUGACCCAAGACAUGAUUCGGAGCCGAUGCAUAUAAUGCUAUAAGUUCGGGGUGCCGAACUUGUGAAAGUGUUUGGACUUAUCACACCAUAUUUUGGGGUACUUAAGCCCCUGGUGUAUUUGGCCGUACCAAAGUGUACGGGUGCAACAUGUCAUAUGUGAACAUAUAUAGAUAAAAAAAUGCAAUAAUAGGCAAAAAGCUAUGUAUUGUUUAUUUAAAAAGGCUGCGAUAAAAGCAGAAUGAUACAAAUAGUGCGAUAAGCAAUGGACGGGACUAUUUGACAUGUCCCCCUCUAGGGGCGAGCUGCGGGAUGAUAUGUGAAACAAGUAUACUGCUCGUUAUAGAGACCAUCUGGACACUCGACGUAGCUUUCUGCUUCCCUGGCUGUUGCAUCGUGUGUUCGGCGAUUCUACGGCCAGACAGAGCUUCUUGAGAAAGGAGUCCUGAAAGUAAGAGAAAAAGGAAUGACACAAUCGGCAGCCCCUGGUGCGGUUGAGCCGCAUUCUGGGCCUUCCAUGGUCGUGCCCCUCCCCCUAUGCCCAUAGUAUUUCUAGAGCGUAAUUAUGUACGCGUAGUACUGGUUUCGCAAUUUCGCGAGGGCUGGGGUUGGGGCCGCAUUGCUACGCGUGCUCGGGACGUGCCAGGCGGUCUUGUUGUAGGUUACUCCGGGCGCGCUUGACGGUGUCCGGACGUUUAAUAGCCGGACUCGAGGAUUGCCUUGAGAGGCUGCUUUGUACUUCCGCCGCGAGGGCCGCCGUAUGCUCCUCCGUUCGGAGAGAGCGUUCGGUGUUUCCGUUGACCGUAAUGACUCCUCGAGGGCCUGGCAUCUUGAGCUUGAGGUAUGCGUAGUGCGGCACCGCAUUGAACUUUGCAAAUGCGGUUCGUCCGAGCAGUGCGUGAUAGCCGCUGCGGAACGGGACUAUGUCGAAGAUUAACUCCUUGCUUCGGAAGUUAUCCGGGGAUCCGAAGACCACUUCAAGUGUAACUGAGCCUGUACAGUUGGCCUCUACACCUGGUAUGACGCCUUUAAAGGUCGUCUUUGUGGGUUUAAUCCUUGAGGGGUCUAUGCCCAUUUUGUGCACUGUAUCCUGAUAAAGCAGGUUCAGGCUGCUGCCGCCGUCCAUCAGGACUCUAGUGAGGUGAAAUCCAUCAACGAUUGGGUCUAGAACCAAUGCAGCGAAUCCGCCAUGGCAGAUGCUAGUGGGGUAGUCCCUUCGAUCAAAAGUGAUCGGGCAGGAGGACCACGGAUUGAACUUUGGGGUGACUGGCUCCAUCGCAUAUACGUCCCUUAGUGCACGCUUCCGCUCCCUUUUGGGUAUGUGGGUUGCGUAUAUCAUGUUCACCGUCCGCACUUGUAGGGGGAAGCCCUUUUGUCCUCUAUUGUUCGGUGGCCGGGGCUCCUCCUCGUCGUUGCUAUGCAGCCCCUUGUCAUUGUUUUCGGUAUUUAACUUGCCUGCCUGCUUGAACACCCAACAAUCCCUGUUGGUGUGGUUGGCUGGUUUUUCGGGGGUGCCAUGUAUCUGGCACGAGCGAUCGAGUAUUCGGUCCAAAUUGGACGGGUUCGGAGUAUUUCUUUUGAAUGGUUUUUUCCGCUGACCGGGUUUAGAGCCUCUGAAUCCGGCAUUGACUGCUGUAUCCUCAGCAUUAUCGCCGUUAAUGCGGCGCUUGUGCUUGUUGCGACGCGACCUGCCGUUGCUGUCCUUGGUAUCCGAAUUACCAGGGCUCUUGGUCAUGUUGUUACUACGAGCUAGCCAGCUGUCCUCUCCCGCGCAAAAGCGGGUCAUGAGUGUUGUGAGGGCUGCCAUGGAUUUUGGCUUUUCCUGUCCUAGGUGCCGGGCAAGCCACUCAUCGCGGAUGUUAUGUUUGAAGGCUGCAAGGGCCUCUGCAUCCGGACAGUCAACGAUUUGAUUUUUCUUGGUUAGGAACCGUGUCCAGAAUUGUCUGGCCGAUUCCUCUGGCUGCUGAAUUAUGUGGCUUAGGUCAUCGGCGUCUGGUGGUUGCACAUAGGUGCCCUGGAAGUUGUCAAAGAAUGCGGCUUCCAAGUCUUCCCAACAACCAAUUGACUCCGCUGGCAAGCUGUUAAGCCAAUGCCGAGAUGAUCCUUUAAGCUUGAGUGGGAGGUAUUUGAUGGCGUGUAGAUCAUCACCGCGGGCCAUGUGGAUAUGAAGGAGGUAGUCCUCGAUCCAUACUGCAGGAUCUGUUGUGCCAUCGUAUGAUUCGAUGUUUACGGGUUUGAAACCCUCGGGGAUUUGAUGAUCCAUUACUUCAUCUGUGAAGCAUAGUGGGUGUGCGGCGCCCCUGUACUGGGCUAUAUCACGACAUAGCUCAAAUGAGCUUUGUCUGCUGUGUUCGGCUCGGCCGGAUUUGCUGUAUCCGGCAUUGACGGUUAUCGUCACAUGUAGUGAGGCGCCCAUGCGAUCCGUAGAUCUAUCUUGUUUGCCUUGCCUUGUCCUCCAAUAUAUCUCACAGGUCUGGUGCAUUUCCCCGUGCCUUGGUACUUUUUGAGCGACGCCGGGGUGCGGCUUGAGUGGAGGGCCGAGAGGCCUCUCUGUCGCGGCCACGAGGUGGAUGGUCAGCCGCAUCAUGCGCUGGUGAUGUAGGUUUGGGUGCUUCCUCCUCUAAUCGGGGUAGCAGCCUGCAUUUUGGGUUGCUCUUGGAGGGGCGUUCGAGUUCAUACUCUUCGGCCGCAAGGACUUCAGUCCAUCUGUCAGCUAGCAAGUCUUGGUCAGCUCUAAGCUGUUGCUGCUUUUUCUUGAGGCUGCUUGCCGUGGCCAUAAGCCUGCAUUUGAAACGCUCCUGUUCGACGGGAUCCUCAGGCACGACAAAUUCGUCGUCGUCGAGGCUUGCCUCGUCUUCGGAGGGAGGCAUGUAAUUAUCAUCCUCUACCUCUCUGUCUGCCGCUCUCUCAUGAGGGCUGGCUUCUCCAUCCUCCUGCGCUGAAUCCUGCUGGAGGGGGUUGUCUUCGGCACUUUCUGGGGUGUUAUUGUCUCCCGUGCUGGAAUCACCGUUUUUGUUGUGGCGGGAUUUUAGAGCGGCGCCGCUGACGCCGGUGCUUAGGCUGUUUCUUGGAGGGGUCAUCCUCCGUUGUUCCAUCGCCAUUCCCAUCUUUUGGGAUGUCCACCAUGUAUAUGUCGUAUGAUGAGGUGGCCUUCCAGUGCCCUGUAGGCACUGGUUCUUGGUCGUCUCCUGCAUCGUCGUCCAUACCGUCGAUGUCUUCGGAGUCGAAGUCGAGCAUGUCGGUUAAAUUAUCGACAGUGGCUACGAAGUGGGUGGUGGGUGGGCUUUGAAUUUCUUCGUCGUCCGCAUCCCAACCUUCCUGACCAUAAUCCGGCCAGGGCUCUCCUGAUAAAGAGAGAGACUUUAGCGAAUUCAGGAUGUCGCCAAAGGGCGAGUGCUGAAAGAUGUCCACGGCAGUGAACUCCAUGAUCGGCGCCCAAUCGGAUUCGAUUGGCAGGGGCGCGGAAGGUUCGGAGUCUGGAGAGGAGUCCGGCACCUUGGAGUCACAAGCUUCGCAAAGGACAGGGUUGGUGUUCGGCUCAAUCGCCAUAGAGAUAGUAGCCCCCGAGGCGGUGUCCAGCCACCCGUCCUCGAUCGGCGCAGUCGGCUCCGAGCUAAGGGUCGGAGCGGACACUUGUGCGGCCUCCAGGGCACUGUCUGGCGGCAGAGCUAGAUCAUGCCCAUCGUGACAGUGCGGCGCGCUUGGCUGUGGCUCGAACCUGCCGAAGAUCAAGUCUCUGCGGAUGUCAGUUGUAUAGUUCAAACUUCCAAAUCUGACCUGAUGGCCAGGGGCGUAGCUUUCAAUCUGCUCCAGAUGGCCAAGCAAAUUGGCCCGCAGUGCAAAGCCGCCGAAUACGAAGAUCUGUCCGGGGAGAAAAGUCUCACCCUGGUCCGCAUCGUUGUUGAUGAUCGAAGGAGCCAUCGGACCUAAAGAUGACGACACAUAGGAACUCUCAAUGAAAGCACCAAUGUUGGUGUCAAAACCGGCGGAUCUCGGGUAGGGGGUCCCGAACUGUGCGUCUAGGCGGAUGGUAACAGGAGACAAGGGACACGAUGUUUUUACCCAGGUUCGGGCCCUCUCGAUGGAGAUAAAACCCUACUCCUGCUUGAUUAAUAUUGAUGAUAUGGGUAGUACAAGAUUAGAUCUACCACGAGAUCAGAGAGGCUAAACCCUAGAAGCUAGCCUAUGGUAUGAUUGUUGUUCGCCCUAUGGACUAAAACCUCCUGGUUUAUAUAGACACCGGAGAGGGCUAGGGUUACGCAGAGUCGAUUACAAUGGGAGGAGACCUACAUAUCCGUAUCGCCAAGCUUGCCUUCCACGCCAAGGAAUGUCCCAUCCGGACAUGGGACGAAGUCUUCAAUAUUGUAUCUUCAUAGUCCAGGAGUCCGGCCAAAGGUCAUAGUCCGGUCAUCCGGACACCCCCUAUUCCGGGACUCCCUCAGUCUUGUACGAAGUCUUGUUUAGGCCCGUGUAGAGUUUGACAACGUCCCACUCGUAACCACCGUGGGGUGUCGAGGCUCGUCGCCAUCUUUGCUAUAGGCACCCCAUGGGCGUCUUGGCAGCUUUUCAGGAUGCCCCACCGGCAGCCACUCCCACAUCCAAAUGGAGAAGGCCCAGACAAAGCCACCCAUAUUGAGCUUGUCUCCCGUCCUCUGUGUUGCGUCGUCAAGCUGAAAAAAAAUCAAAUGAGGAUCAAAUAUAACAAAAUAUCAUGGACAUACUUUGGGAGUUCCCCAACUGUACAGGUAUAGGUAGGCAAGAGAUGCGGUCCCCCAACUAUACCCUGCAUCCCAGUCGGCUAGGAAGAACAGAUACGACCAGUUGGCAGAGUUCCCAGAUGCGUUUGGAAACACGACCUCCGUGAGAAGAUACCACAGGUAGGCCCUCGUGUACCACUCCACAGUCGUCUCAUCGGCGUCUUCGGGGCAUGUCUUCCGGUGCUCCGAGAGCCAGGACAACAGCACAUCAGAUGUACGGUUACCCUUAGCCUCGGGGCAGCCGCUGAUGAGGGUGGUACCCUCUCCUACUAGUUGGUCCUCUCCACUCACCCGGUCAAUGCAUGACCCUCGAGCGGCAUGGCAGUAAUCAUUGACCAAUCCUCGAGGGUCACCGUCAUCUCCCCGCAUGGGAGAUGGAAAGAAUGGGUCUCCGGUCGCCACCGGUCAAUCAGAGCUAUCAGAGCUGCGUGGACAAGCGUCGGCGACUGACGCUUGAACUGCAACACGAAACCCAACAACUGGGCUCUCUUGAAGAACGGCACGUAGCGCUCAUCGUAGUCCAUAUUCCCAUGAACCCCGUGACCCCUCAUGCGCACUGGCUGGAGCAUAUGCCAAAAAGUGAACGCCAAAAGUUAGGAAAUUAUUUUCAUCAAUUAGAAAACUUUGAUCAAUAUUUCAUUCAUAUUACUUACCUCUUCGUUCUCUAUGAAACAUGCACGAUGACCCUUGUCGAAUGCGUAGUCAAGCAUGCAGUACCGUGGGCCGAUGUUGUCCGCAAGAGGUGGCCGCCUUAAUAAAAUUUCAUAAACAAAAACAUCAUAAGCAUAAGCAUACAUAAACAUGCAUCAUAUCAAAAUCAUAUCACCAUGCAUCAUAUCACAAAAAAAAUUCAAAUCAUAUCACCAUGCAUCAUAUCACCAUGCAUCAAUAUCACCAUGAUGGAUCAAAUCAUAUCAACAUCACUCAUAUAAAAAAAAAUCCUCCAACAUGCAUCAUAUCAACAUGCAUCAUAUCACAAAAAAAUCCUCCAACAAUCAUCUUCAAUGUAUUAUCUCCAAACAACAUCUUCAUAUCAUCAUAUCAAAUGCAUCAUCACUCCAACAUGCAUCAUAUCAUCAUAUUUUUAAACAAAAAAAUCCUCCAACAUGCAUCAUAUCAUCAUAUUUGUAAACAAAAAAAAUCCUCCAACAUCUUCAUAUCAUCAUAUCAAUAUGCUUCAUCAAACUACAAUCAAUUCCUCAAAAAAAUUAUGAACUAGGGUUCAUCUUCACACUAACAUAUGAACUAUUGAUUAGAGUUAAUAUUCAUUACCACUACUUAGUAAAGAACUAAGAACUAGAACUACAAUCAAGCUAAAACAAUCUUAGGUGAAAAAAAAAUCCAAUCUAAUUUCAAAAAAAUGAGGGAUUUCGAGCAAAUAAUGCGUCGAAUCGGAAGCAAGUUUGCAAAAACUAAUUGGAGGGAUCGGAUGAGCUUACGAUUCUCUCUUCGGGGCCAUCUCAAUCCACCAAAACAGUGAAGAAUCGGUGAAAAUCCGAGGGGAAGAGUGGAGGAGAUGAGAGAGGGAGAGAGGGGCGACUUGGGGGAGAAAAUGGAAACUGCCGACGGGGGAGGGGGGGGAGGGGGAGGGGUGGGGAGAUGGGCAGGGGCGCCGGGGUCUCGGGGGAAAUAACUGCCCGGACCCUACCGCUAGGGGCUUUGGCGGUAGGGUUAUAUAGCCUACCACCAGGUCCCCUAGCGGUAGGGUGCGACGGAGGGGGACGGCGGCCGUUUUCGCGAGCUGACGUGGACUAGUACCCUACCUCCAGGGGCCCUGGCUGUAGGCCGUAUAACCCUACCGCCAGAGGCCCUGGCGGUAGGAAAAAGGGUCAAAUCAUGAAAUUUUUCUGAACCGGGGUCAGAUCCUAAAUUUGUAUGCAAAAAGGGUCAAAACACGAAAUUUUGCCACUCGAGAACAAGAACAAGAAAAACAUACAGAGUAGUAGAGUGAGAUUGCUGGAAGUUGUCUGAAAUCUGGCUGUUUUGCGCUGUGAAAUUUAUGUAUUUGAAGAGCGCCUUAGGAGUACGAAAUUACACUUUCUUAAGAAAAUACAGAUUAUUAUUAUGAAAAGCAGACACACUAUUAUUAUGAGAAUUUAUUAUUACAUGAAUGGUUCAAAGACUAUGUGUGAGAAAAUAGUUUUGACCAGUAGAAUGUGGUGGGUAUGGCUUUUUGGACAUACCAUGGGAAAAUAGGGGCUUUCCUUUUUUCUAGGAAUUUGUAAACUUGUUUAUUUUCUUUACACAAAGUGGCAGUGCUAUGUUGGAUGGGGGCUGCUACGCGUCGGUCGACGUAUCUUUUUAAAAGAUCCGCCACCUCGCAAGCCGUCAAAUUUAACACAAUCUAGUCGCUAAACGUGCUCUUCUACCUUUGCAACAAAGACCUUGUUGCAGAAACAACAUUUCCAUAGUGGUUGUGUUGCAGAUUUUUUUUGCAACAUAGGUUGUGUUGCGGAUUUUUUUUCAACAUAGGUCGGGUUGCGGAUUUUUUAUGCAACAUAGGUCGCGUUGUGGAAUUUUUUAUGCAACAUAGGUCGUGUUGCAGAUUUUUUCCUUCGUCUUUCUUUUUGCAACAACAGUGAUGUUGUGGAAGAAGUUUUGCAACAUAGGUAAUGUUAAAGAAAGUUUUGCAAAUGAAAAAAGUGUGCAGAAACGCCGUCGUCAUUGCCUACGUCGAGCACGCCACUGCCAACCGCAACAGAGCAGUAGCACCACUGCCCAUGUUGUUGCAGAAGCGCGCACACCGCUACCGGGGAGCACACCAACGCGACAGGGCACCACCACCGCCCACCAAUGCGACGGGGCACCACCACCCCCGCCCACCAGCGCGAUGGGGCAACACCACCACCACCCACCACUGCAUCCCUCCCUUAAUUUUGCACCUGUAGGAAUGGGGGAAAAGGCUGUGGAUCUAGCGGGGAAAGGAUGCCCACCUGCUGUUUGUGCAGCCGUCAGCGACCUCAUAUUGCGCCAUCAUCGUCCAGCGCGGCUGGUCUGCUGCGCUUGCCUAGCCACCGCCUCUGUCCCAGCCGCACCAUGCUCCGCCUCUCCGCUGCUGGAUCUAACCACAACAGAGCUUUGAAACACGCUCUCAGUUGCAGAAAGUGUUUCUGAAACAGCAGUUGAGCUGCAGACCCAUGCGUGUGAGUGCAGGGUGCUAUCGGCCGUUGGAUCAAAAGACGAUCCAACGGACAUGGAGCCGGCGGACGUGGGCGCGAGAUUGGCCGGCAGAAGGUAAGUUUUUCCCAUGUUGGAUUCCCACGUCAUGUUUUUCCUUGUGUCGAGGUAACAGUUCAUAUGUGUUCAUGCGUGUUCGCCAAAGAGAACAGGAUCAGACCAUGACAUCUUGUUGGAUGUGGUUGAAGAGGAGCCUGCAAGGGUCUAAUCGGUGAGCAUUAAAUCCCCAGGUGCGCACAAUGAGUCUGAGCCAUGAGUUGAUUAGGGGAAUUGGAUAUAAUUUUUCUUAAACUUAGCUAAGCAAGGUGGACUGCAUGGAAGAACCAUUGUGUGGACGAGAAAUUUCACACAUGAGAUCGCUGAGGCGACUUUGAGUGUGUCACUAUUUCUAGCUAAUAUAUGCUCUUGUCCCCAUAAAAUAGGCAUGCAUUUUUUUAAGAGAGGCAAAAGAUUUGCCUCAUUCAUUAAAUAAGAGGAAUAGAGUUUAUGUUCAUGUUACAACACAUAUAGCGCCGCAACAACCGAAAUAAAAGUGACCAACUACUCUUGCGUCAUUAGGUAUCUCAACUUUCUAGCACUCGCAAUUACCCAAAGUGUGGCCUCCUUCUUGAUAUUGGCAAGUAGGACCAUCGGUGGAGCACUCUUCUGAUGGAACCCUCGCGCAACCCUCUCGUUCCAAAUGGUCCAGGCGACGAGCAUGGUGAACGAGGCCAUUGCCUUCAUGUUGGGGGUAGAUGUGUCGGAGAGGCCCACCCACCACUCUUCGAUGUUGUCCGAGAUGCGCCAUGAGGAAGUAUCGAUGCUCACCAGUUGCAGCCAGUCCUUGACUAAUCCCCAGAGGAGGAUAGAGAAGCGGCAUUUGUAGAAAAGGUGGUCAACAGACUCUUGCUCCCGCUUGCACGAAAAUUGUUGCAAAAUGAAAAUUAUUGUGUGUAAACAUGUUGUGAAAAAACUUUGCAACAUUACAUCUUGUUUUGUUUGCUUGUAAUAAAAACUUAUGGCAACAAAAACCGGAGGGCCUAAACAAAACAUUGAGAAGAAGGGGGAAAGAGUUGUUGUAAGCACUCCAUAGAGAAGAAAGGAUAGCACAACUAUGAGUGGCGGAUGAUGGGCUGCGUGAGGCCCCAUUGUGAGAUUCAAAAAGGCUUUGGUGUGUUUUUUCUUUGAAGUUUUAACUCUCAGUUUGAACUUGGGUUCCGGAUGUGCUUGUUGGAAUGAUGUCAGUAGACUUUAGUGCAGGCAAAGUCUGGAAGUGAUGUUACCCUAGAUCAAAUGUUGCUUUUAUUUUGGUCUACGCACUUUUUCUUUUGGUUUUCAUAUUUGCAUGGUUGUAAAUUUGGUGGUUUCUUUAACAAAAAUUGACGUGGAUGCUCGUUUUUCCAUAAAAAAGAAUAACAAGUGGAGCUAUCAUGUAAUAUUCCACAUAACCUCAUGGGGCUUAGCCAUGAAGUUGAAUUAGCAAAAUAGAAUCAAAGAUCAAGAAACCCUUCAACAUGGAGACCAUUACCUUGGAGUGCUAAAAUAUUUAAGGGCAGAAAAAUGCUUGAACUUCAAUUAUAAGAAUCUAAAUAUGGCAAUGGCAAAGAAAUAUGAUGGGAGAUCUUACUUUUAUUGCACACACUCCGAUUGGAUAGAAUACUUAUACCCCUAGAAGCUAGGAUCCUUUACAAUCUUUUUUGUUUUCUUUUAUAAGUUGUAAAUAACCAUGUAAAUACGUUUCCCGCAAAAAAUAACUUCUAAAUACAUUUAUAUCUUUCCUAUUUAUAAAGGUUUGGAGUUGGUGAUGAGUUUACAUGUGGACCAACAACCUUCUUAAUAAACAAAUACACUCCUCCCCACAAUUCAAAGAGAUAUAUAAAUAAUUAUAUUUGGUCACAUGUGGGGCCUAAGAUAAAUAAACAAAUACACUGCUAUUUUGAACCUCCCACAGGGGGGUGUAUCAUAGGUAGUACUACCUACGGUUCUUUUUAAUCUGCAUAUAAGUUUGAUCGAAAGUCAAAGUUUCUCUACUUUGACCAAACUUAUAGAAAAAAGUAUUAACAUUCACAAUGCCAAAUCAAUAUUUUUAGAUUCAUCAUGAAAUGUAGUUUCAUAGUAUAUAUAUAUAUAUAUAUAUUUGGUGUUGUAGAUGUCGAUAUUUUUUAUAUAAAUUUGGUCAAACUUUACAAAGUUUGACUUGACACCAAAUCUAAUAUAUAGAACAAAAAGUGAUGGAAAUAUGCCCUAGUGGCAAUAAUAAAGUUGUUAUUAUUAUAUUUCCUUAUUCAUGAUAAAUGUUUUAUUAUUCAUGCUAGAAUUGUAUUGAUCGGUGUAACAUCCCAAAUUUUCAAUUUGGAAUGUUAUACAUUAGAUCAUCAUUGCAUAUCAUAUUUUAUUGCAUUCUGACUUGAUCCUAGAAAUUCUACGCAACCCAAGGACCCAUGGAGAGAGUUGGAGAUUUCGUUAUUUUCAUAUUUGAGUUUUCUCAAAUUUUGAAAAUAGGAUCAUUUGAUUUUAUUUAUUUUAUCUUCAAAUAUUUAUAUUACAAAAAUAAAAGAGAGGGAAUAAAAUGACUUUCCAAAAAUAAAGAAAUAUUAAGGAUUUAAUAAUAAAAUCAAAUAAGAUUUUAUUUCGGAGUUUUUCACUAUUUUAUUUGAAUUUAGGAAAAUUGCACGUUUUUCAAAACUGCAUUUUAGGGCCAAGAAAAUGUUCAUCUCGUCCUAAAUAUUUUAUUUAGAUGGUGAAAAUUUGUUUUGGCAUUUUUAGAGUUUUAUUUUAUUUUUUAGGAUAUAUUUAAUUUCGGCGGAAUUUAUUUAAAUAAAAUCUUUUCUCGUGGAUUGAACUGGGCCGAAGGCCCAGCCGGCCCACUUGUCCGCGUCGCCUCGCCCGAGCGUGGCCGAGCCGNNNNNNNNNNNNNNNNNNNNNNNNNNNNNNNNNNNNNNNNNNNNNNNNNNNNNNNNNNNNNNNNNNNNNNNNNNNNNNNNNNNNNNNNNNNNNNNNNNNNNNNNNNNNNNNNNNNNNNNNNNNNNNNNNNNNNNNNNNNNNNNNNNNNNNNNNNNNNNNNNNNNNNNNNNNNNNNNNNNNNNNNNNNNNNNNNNNNNNNNNNNNNNNNNNNNNNNNNNNNNNNNNNNNNNNNNNNNNNNNNNNNNNNNNNNNNNNNNNNNNNNNNNNNNNNNNNNNNNNNNNNNNNNNNNNNNNNNNNNNNNNNNNNNNNNNNNNNNNNNNNNNNNNNNNNNNNNNNNNNNNNNNNNNNNNNNNNNNNNNNNNNNNNNNNNNNNNNNNNNNNNNNNNNNNNNNNNNNNNNNNNNNNNNNNNNNNNNNNNNNNNNNNNNNNNNNNNNNNNNNNNNNNNNNNNNNNNNNNNNNNNNACGAGGUAGCCGCCGCCGCUGCCACUGAUUUUUUUUAAAAACCCGUUCGUUUUUUUUAAAACCCUAGAUCCAUUUUUUCGGUUCGUCGGGUUUUCCCGGUUUAGUUAUUUAACGGACGUUCGUCCAUAUGUUCUUUUUAACGAAUGGUUUUCAUCGUUUAGUCGUAGACAGCGAACGUUCGUUCGUUAGCCUGUACGUCCGUUUUUCUUUUUCUCGGAUUUUCCGCGAUUAUUCCAGAUCAUGAUUUCUGAUCCGAUUUCCGUUUUAGUAUAACUUUUCGCUCGUUUAUCGGAAUCAGUCGAUUCAAGCGCCUAGAGUUUCGUCUCGAAACCCUCUUUUUGUUUAACUAACUCAAAAAAGUUUUUGCUACUGUAAAAUUUGACUUAUGUCCAGAGUAGUAAACGAAGCUUGUUUCUUUCGCCGUUUGACUUUUGUUGCUUCGUUUGAUUUGAUUCUUUUUGCAAACCGAAGUUCUUAAGUUGAACUUUCUGGUUAGAUCUCUUAUUUGAGUUUUACCUAUGCAUUAGUUGAGUGCUUAUUGUAUGCUUUUUUGUUUGCGAUAGAGUACCUGGAGUGCGCCACUUGCUACUUCGAAUCUCUAGGUUUCACGGAUCAUCAACAAGGCAAGUAACACUUUGAUCAUACCUCUUUACUACCCAGUUUUAUUGCAUUAGAUCAACCCUCAAACAAUUGCAUGAUUAGGAUAUGUUUUAAACUGUGGGUUUUGGGAAGUAGAUUGAGGUAGUACCUAUUACCUGUUUUAUUAUAAAACCUUUGGGAGUUACUUCUACAUUUGCUUAUAUUGCCAUGCUAUGCUAGUAGACGUGGAUUGGGUGAGUGUAUCCAUGACAGAUGUGAGAUUGUUAUUUAAUGGUUUAUUUAAGGUGGCAACUUUAAUACACAUCUGGGUGGAUUGAGGCACCUGGGGAACCCAGUGAUUGCUUGUUUUUUUAUGGACCGCCACCCAGGCUCAAAGGGAUCAUGAGAUUAUUCAUGCUAGAAACUUUCGUGUGCAGCAACAAGCUACUAUGGGCUCUAGCAUAGUUGGUUAAGUCGUGUGAACUCUUAUAGUGGUAGACUAGCAGAUGUAGGGGAAAGUAGGUGUAACUGUCUACCCGAUUGUAAGGUGCAAACGCUUCUGAAAGACUAUGUCUCGAUCAUCCAUUUCUUAAACACCUUGUAGUGCAAGAAUUCCAACGGAGGAGAUCGAGUCUUGUGGGAAAAAGUGCGCAAACCUCUGCAGAGUGUACAAACUAAUCAUGGUUAGCCGUGUCCCCGGUUAUGGACGUUUUGAGUAUCUAGUACUUGGAUUUUCAUGUGAAUCUCAUCAUGUUACUUUAAUUUAAUUUGUUGGGUUUAAUGAUGAUGCUUAAUUGGGAUUGAGUUGGGUGAACAUUCUCAAUGUUUAACAACCACCAUGAUAGCUAAAUAAAAUUUAUUCCUUUGUAGUAGGAAAAAUUGGCUUUAUGCAAAACUGUAACCAUAGAGUUUUCCACCAGCCAUAUAUGCAUGUAGUAUAGCAUUAUUCUGUUCAUUACUCUCUAUGUGUUACAUUGCCAGCAUAUUCCAUGUGCUGACCCAUUUUUGGGCUGCAACGUUCAUGUUGUAGACUUUUCAGAGGACAAGUAAGGUGCCUUAGGUCAUGGUCUUAUACUCAGUGAUGCCGUUGGAGUUGAUGGACUCGCUUAUCUUCCAAGCCUUCCGUUGUUAUCGUUAUUAGAUGGCCUUAAGCCAUAUUUAUUGUAAUAAGUUCUCUUUUGAGACAUUCGAUGUAAUAAGUGUGUGAUUGCUACUUUGUUAUAAAUCCAUUGAGUACUAUGCGUGUCGGGGAUAUACCCCGCGGUAUGACCCGGCCGGAGUCGUAACCCGGCCGGGACUCGGUAAACCGACAGGUGGUAAACCGGUAGGUGUUAAGUCAGAUGAUAAUCCGGCAGGUGUUAAGUCAAAUGAUAAUCUGGCAGGUGUUAAGUCAGAUGAUAAUCCGGCAGGAGUUAAGUCAGAUGAUAGCCUGGUGUACAAUCUUAAACCGGCAGACAAUGUUAAAUCGGCAGACAAUGUUAAACCGACAGACGUUAAGAAGCCCAGGAAGGGAAGUCAAAAUAGUUUAAGUCUUAGUCCGAGAUGGACUCUACAUGUAACCUGCCCCUUUAACUUAUAUAAAGAGGGGCAGGGCUCCCCAAAGAGGGACAAGCAAGAAACAAUCUCUAGGGCUAGGCACAACUAGAGGAAAGCCGGUUUACGGUGACUCCCUCGUGAUGAUAAUGAGAUCUAGCCUCAAACAACAUGUAGGGUUGUUACCGGAUGAUGUUUCCCGGGGCCCGAAGCUGUCUAAACCCUUGUCUUGCGUUGCGUCUCUCGAUUCCGCUCAACCCCUCUCAAGCUACCACAUAGAUGCGUUGGUCUCACGACUAAGUCCUCACACUAAAAACAUCUGACGUGUUAAUUCCACGACAGUUGACGCCCACCGUGGGGCCUGCGCACGGUGGUGUUGAGUUCUUGAAGGGAUCUCUUUUGGGGAUCGAGAAGCUCUCGAUCAGUUUGAUUCAAGGUUCGUUUGGAAUCUUCAUCAGGAGCGGUGGUAACCCGCCGGACGCCCGUAGGUACAUCAGUAAGACGUGGGGAGUUGGAUUUGUAUAGCGGUAUGAGACGCUGCAUCUAGACGACCCGGCAAAACCAAGUUGAAGACAAGACAUCGGUCCGUCGCAAAAAUUGCUAUGAGCUUUAUCCUCUGUGUUUUGAUCGGAAGGAACCAGGCCAUGUCAUAGGACCGUCUGUACUACUCGAUUGGAGUCAAAGUAUGUAACAGCUUGGAGUCUUAUCGGCGGAACAUUUUACGAGUCGGGACCGGUUUGUAUGAUUUGCCUCACAGAUUAAGCAUCUGUCAUACAGCUGCCGCUACCUCCAAAUCGCCGGUCUCGGAAGCACCACGGGUCUCAGUACCUCCAAACCGCCCUAGCUGGUCUCCUCCACUUUAAAAUUGCCGAGUCCUAGCCGCUUCUGAGUCGCCUAUUGUUUUUGGCUCUAACUCGGCGUCUGCGCUUGUAGGCCACAGUAGGCCGCAAUCCACCUCGCUCUAACCCGGUGCCGGCCUGCGCCUGCCUCUCGUUGGCUCUUGUGAACAGCCUUAGAGCAUCUCCAACAGCCGCGCAAAGCGCCGCGCGCAAAAAACCUGUUUAGCGCGCGCGCUGCGGCUGGUUUUGCGCGCCCGCCUGCGCUGGCUCCAGCAGCGGUGCUAUAAUGCAGCGCGCGCGCCGCUCCAGCAGAGCGCAAAAAUAUAGCGUGCGCGCCGCACAAACCACAUGUACAUUUCAGAGAAGAUGAGCAAAAAUGAUCAAACAAACAAAAUAAAAAUCAACAACAAAUAGUUCAAAAUAAAUCAUUACAACUCAAACAAAUAGUUUAUCGUUCAGUACAACAACAAAUAGUUCAAAUAAAUUAUUACAACACAACAAAUAGUUCAUGAACAAUACAAUGUCGAGUGCAGAUAUCAUCAUGCUCUUUGCCGUCCAUGCCAUGCCCACCACUCUUCAAUUAGAUCAUUCUGAAGUUCAUUGUGCGUUGCAGGACGCCGAAUGGCAUGAUAGGAGGCAACAAAACGGGCUACCCUUUCAGCCCUCCGCCGCACUCACACGGGAUGUCCCAAGAGCUCAUACUAUGAGUAGUCUAAAUCUUGGCCACGCUCAUUCUCGAUGAUCAUGUUGUGCAUGAUCACACAAGCGUGCAUGAUGUACCAAAGCAUUUGUUGAUCCCAAAAUCUUGCCGGUCCUCUCACAAUAGCAAAUUGGGCUUGCAAAAUCCCAAAUGCUCUCUCCACAUCUUUUCUAGCCGCCGCCUGAGCAUUGUGGAAAUCAAGAUUUUUCUUACCUUCCGGUUUUUUCUACGGCUUCACGAAGGUUUGCCACUUUGGAUAGAUGCCAUCCGCUAGAUAAUAGCCAUAGUUGUACGUACGGCCAUUUGCUACAAACUGCACAGGUGGCAACUCACCGUUUGCAAUCUUAUUCAUCAGUGGUGACCGGUUGACAACAUUGAUGUCAUUCAAAGAUCCAGGCAUUUCAAAGAAUGCAUGCCAAAUCCAAGUCUCCUGAUCGGCCACCGCUUCAAGGAUUAUAGUGGAACCCUUUUUUUGGCUGUGGAAUUGCCCAUGCCAUGCAUUUGGACAAUUCUUCCAACUCCAAUGCAUGCAAUCUAUUGAGCCAAGCAUGCCAGGAAAGCCGCGCGCUUUGUUCAUCGCCGAUAGCCUUGCAGCGUCUUCAGCAGUGGGAGAUCUCAAAUACUCCUCGCCAAACACUUGCACAAUUCCCACUGCAAAGCGCUUGACACACAUGAUGGCUUGGCUCUCACCCAUAGCCAAAUGAUCAUCAACUAGAUCAGCCGGGAUACCAUAUGCCAACAUACGCAAAGCGGCUGUCACCUUCAGAAAAGUGCUAUGCCCGAGCUCUCCGGCGGCAUUCCUCCUUUGCUGGAAAAACCGGUCAUGGCUCGCUAGUUUCUCUGCAAUGCGCCUGAACAAAUCGGUGCUCAUCCUAAACCGGCGAUGAAAAUACGACUCCUGGUAUGUGGGAUUCUCCACGAAAUAGUUCUUCAUCAAUCUGUUAUGGGCAUCAAUCCUAUCUCUCCAAAUUUUCUCCCGACCCAUAACCAAACCACCGUGCUUCGUUUUUUUAUUGAUAUGCAUAGCUACGAUCAUUGCAAGAUCCUCCUCCUCUUCCAUAUCAAAUUCUUCUUCGGAAGAAUCAUACGACAAACUCAUCUACAAUGUUCAAUACUAUACUAUAAAAACUACAAUUCAAAACAUGCAUCAAAUUCAUGAAGUUUGAGCAAUACAUACCUUGUAGGCGUUUUGUCAAACACCUUGCGGGCGCGGCGCGGCAGCGAGCGCUCGGGCGCUGUUCCUCGGACGACGGAGGCGCGCGGGCGCCGGCGGUACUAGGAGGGGAUGGGCGGAAUCGCGGGCGCGCGGGGAUAGGUCGGGGAAGCCUGAGACGGUCGCCGGGGUGCGCGGGCGGCGGCGGCGCGGCCGAUCGGGGGUGGAAGCGCGAGAGGAAGAGCGGGCGUGAGCGCUCGAGCGUGCCGCGCGCUGUAGUGGGCGCCCGAAAUACGCCGCGCGGGUAAGUGUUUUUGACCACGCGCCCAACCCGUUUUAGCGCUCGCGCCAUUUUUGCGCGCCCGCUGGAGCGCCCUGACGCAUUGCGCGCGGGCUAAAACGACCUAUUUUUCGGCGCGGCGCUAGUUUAGCGCGGCUAUUGGAGAUGCUCUUAAGUUACGCCAACAAAUCGCCUCCAACGGCCCCGUCUGUCGUCAUCUCACCCCGCUGUGACCCGCCGUCUGCGCCUUUGCAUUGGGCCACUCUAGCCGUCCCGCCGAGUCGACCAGUUUGCCUGUAUGGCCUAGAGGCGCCGAGGCCUGCCAACCUCAGACCCGUCGUCCUGCGCCCGGAUCAAUCUGCUCGGGCCAACGACCUCCGCGGCCCCGUGCUAAGUUGCCUUCGCGGUGCUCGCCUGCCUCUGCUUGCCUCCAUGGUUACACGUUAACACGGCUGGUUGUUGCUGCCUCAAGUCGCCAUCGCCGUUCUGAACCGCUUCGGCUGUACGCGGGCCUGGGCCGGUCACUUCUACUGCUGGCCGCUUCGUUUCACUUCCGGGCCGCCGCGUUGCCGUGACUCGCCCCACCGGCACGCUUCGAGACGGCCUCUGUAUCUCCGUCAACCUCCAAUAUGGUCAAAUGGACAAGUUCUAAGCCAUUGUAGUGGCCCUUCAACUCCAAGUCACUGCUGCACGGCUCCGAGUCACCGGCAUGGCCUCUGUGGCCAACGCUGCCGCACCUUGAGACGGCGCUGCCGCUUCUACGCCCGCGGCCUCGUCACUGUUGCAGUUCUCCUCCAACCGGCCACCUCCACUCGAGUCGCCGAGCCAACGCUUCCGGGGCUGGCCUCGCCUCCGCUGUCGCUUGCCGCCAAACCGCCCGGCCUCGCGCCUAAACCGCUGGCCUCUGCUUCCAUGGCUUCAUCCGCCUCCGCCACCGUGAGCCACCGACAGUAUUGAGUCGCCCCCGCGACUGCGCCGCUCUAAGCACCCGGUUUACCUCGCCGCGGUGCCUUCGAGCUGCUCCCGCCGACGGUCCACCCCGUCGCUCAUCCUUAAACCGCCCCCGUGCUGAACAACCGCAUCCUCGAGCUGCCACCUGACCCGGCAACGCGCCGCCUCAUCAAACCACUGGCCCCGAAUCGCCAAAGCAGUCGGCCCUGCGUCCUCGAGGUGCAGGAUACAGAGACAGGAACGUAUCGCGGCAAGACACCUCUCGAUGGAUGGAUAGAACGGAGGAGGAUACACACAGCUAAAAAGAAAGAAGAAGAAAAAUUGCUGCUACUCCGAUUAGCAGUGGUCAGAGCGCUGCUGCAUGUGUUCAGAUAAAUAUAAUAGGCUGAAGCCAGCUAAUUCUUGAGGAGAAGCAAACUUUUCAAAUGCACAAUUAUGGUCUACUAAAGAGGGUUAUGACCUGGACAAGUUCAAAGACGUGCACGUUUUACGCAGUGCUAAUCAUCUAUGGAUUAUCUGUUGGCUGAGAAAUCACUUUCAGAUUGAGUUAUUACACAGGUCAAAAGGCGCUACAAACAUUAACAUGCAUCUCAAUCAGCACUUAAGCAUCAUCCAGCAUCUGUCGACCCGCCUAUGCCAUCGUCGCGGUCGACGCCCCUCCGUUUGUACGCGAGUCUCCGCACCGGGUUUCUCGUAUCGCAAGUUGCCCGCCUGUCUGCUACCAGCUCGCUCCUCUACAUUGAACCAUCGCCAUCUGAGGGAAGUAGCCGUCGGCUCGUCACCCGCUCUAAACCGGCUCUACUGUCGCUCACCGCCAAACUACUUGUACUCGCGCUUAAACCGCUGGCCUCUGCUUCUGCAGCCUCAUCUGCCUCACCGCCGAAGUGAGCACUGAGCCGUUCCACCAUGGGCUGCGGCCUCCGCUACCGGAACCCGCCGGGCCUAUCUGAAACACACCUGUGAAGCUGAAACCGUGAAAGGUCAUCGUUUGGGGACACAGCGAUGGAUUGUUACGUGUGAUCUCCAACAAGAUACCAUCGGUGUUGCCUGACAGUUGUCAUGGAUAUUGCAUGGACUUUCUUAUUGAAGCAUUUAAAGGGUAAUGGUACGAUGCAUGGACUGAAGAAGCACGAGAUGCUAUGAUUGAACUGGGCUGUAUUUUCAUGCAAGCCUGUACUGCCGAGCUGGUCAACGCUCAUAUAUCCGCGCCGGGAUUCCUCCAGAGCGCCUCUGCUUGCUUUCACUGUAACACGCCCUGUUGACCCGCCAAGCCCCGGUGAACCGUCCUCCCUCUAUGCUAGAUCCCGCAUCACGAGCCGCCUGAUGCCUCUGCUCGUGAGCCGCCCCACACACCUCGUCGGCCUCAGCUUGCCGUUCGCCUGCAAACUGCUCUACGCCGCGGCCUUGCCAGUGACUUGCUUCUGAAUCGGCCGCCCUGGCCCUGCAGGCUGCUCCCUUCCUACGCCCCUGCGCUGAUGGAAACAACAGAAGAAAAGUCAAAGUGGUUAAGUGUUGAAAAAAAACUUUUGAUCAUAUCAGAAGAUAUACGAGGCAUUCCCGAGGAUAAAUAUGCCCCAAUUUCUUGGAGUGAAGAUUAUACGAACUACAUCGAACUCUGGCAAGUCCCGUGAAAGGAUCAACACAAAAGUUAUUGGUUAUCUACAGACGCCAUAUAAUGAUGAUCUGUCAUCUAAAUAUCAGGUGAUAUUUAUCUUACAUAUUUUGUUAAGUACAUGUUGAUUUCCUUCGACAAACAACUACUCCACCCUGCUGUAUUUUUUGUACGCAGGACAACUAUUCACUACAAAUGUGGUUUAUAGCACGGACAUGAAGCACGUACUAGCAACAUUGCACCCGGACCGUCCCUGGGAAUUAACUCGUUCGUCCGCGCCGGCUUACAAUGCCGCGGUCGACUCAUCUGUCCGAGCUGCUUCUGAUGUUGUGGUCGUCUUUGUCAUUCGUCUCUCGUGACCUGGUCUACAUCAACAUACCGGGCCGCAUCUGUUUGCAUGAGCUAUAUAUUGAAUAAAAAGCGAGUCACUGCUUGGGUAGCCCGGUUUUCUUCCAACAAAUUGGAGGCAAAUUAUCGUUCAACUGUCUGCGCUGGAUGGUUUAAUGGACAUGCGCACAAAUCGCUGCACUACAGUUUGGUUACCUUCAAAUCGCUAGUUGGAAGGAACCAUUGGCCGAGUUGCUGACAUGGCUCACACGUGAUCAUUUAUAACCCGCCGCAGUCACCUCAACCUUCUGUGGACUCACACCGUGCUAUCAACACCAAUGAUAUAUAAGCUAUGCCGGUUUAUAUCACAGUCAAAUAUGGAGAGUCUCAAGCCAACUCCUCGAGUCACCUUUGAGACUCGGGGGCUACGAUGACAUGACUCAGCAAAUCUUGCCAGUUUCAGCAAAUUUAAGAACCCCAGGACGAUGGAGGUAAAGAUAACCCAGUCCCGGAGGCUAUUGUUAUAUUUAUGAAAGUUUAAAGGCUGUCAGAAAAUUUCCGGCUUAGAAAGGAUAUGACAGUUACAGAAUCCCGGCUUAAGGAAGAAGUUUCGGGUCAUCAGAAAGGAUUCCGGUUUAAAAUCCGGCUCAAGGGGAGUCAGUCUCACUGAAGCUCUCAAAUAUCCGGUUUACAAUCCGGUUCAAGGGAAAUCUAUUCUCCCACAAAGCUAUGAAGCUCUGAAAUCCAGUUUAAGAAUGUCCAGUUCAAAUAAUUAACUUCUCGCAAGUUCGAGUUUAAAAGCCGCCAGAAAAAUUCCGGCUGAAAAUAAAGAUUCCGGUUUAAGGUGCCGGUUCAAGAAAAAAGUUAUCUCUUGCAAAAAGUUAAAGGUUGCCAAAGAGGACCUGUUGCCAUGAUGCACGGUUCAAACAUGGGUAUCCCGCAUUAUUGGCUAUCAUAUUAUUGGUUACAUGGGGGCUUCAGCUGACAAAGCGGAGUUCUGUCCAUUAAUCCGGCUAUCACGCCACAACAAAGCUUAGGAGCUUCACACCCAAGGGGCCAAAGAGAGUCUUGUUGCUAUGCACAACUCAAACAUAGGCACCCAUUGAGCACAGCUCACAAAGUUACUUGGGGGCUCUUUGUGCAAAGCAACAAAGAGUUUGAAAGGACCCUUGUAAUUGGGUAUCGACCCACGGCUUGGAAGCUUGGUGUAUUCACCUAAAACCCCGGGUUAACCUGCCUUCAUCAAGUAAGCCACUCCUAUCCAGGUAAUCCUGGCAUGACCCGCCGAAUGUUUGGCAAGUCAAUCAUAUACAGACCCUGAACUUUUCAAAGUUAAAACGACGAUUGGUUAGUUGGAGGCCCAUCUUAAAAGGCUUUGCAAAAUGGUUUAACUCAGCGGCCUGGCAGCCCAUGAAAAGCCUCGAAUUUCGGCCUGGCAGCCCUUGAAAAGCCUCGACUACAAGUUUUAUUUGAUUUUGCCUUUGUCAAGAUUUUUCUCUUUUGAUAAAAUUUUAUGUUGAACCGGUGUCUUUUGACCCGGCAUGACUAUCAGUCAUCAAAUUAACCCGGUGUUCAUUAACCCGGCUCGACUUUCAACUACAAGUUGUCAGUACAUAAUCACUUAUCAUCUGGUGUUUAUUGACCCGGCCUGGCUUUGGACUAUAAGUCGCCAGUAUAUAUUUGGAUUGCGCCAUUGGAAUCAUGCGCUUAUAAAUCAUUGGGUAUAUUAUUCAAAUAGCCAACAUGGCUGGAUUUUUAUUAUGGUUAUCAAUAACCAAUAUUAUGAUUGAGGUUUUCAAAGUCGCUUCAGCGCACUGGAUAUUAUUUUAUCAAUGGGUAUGAUUUAUUCUACAAAGGAAUAGUCCCAAGUCACCGCAGGCUUACGACCCAGCACUUGGGGGCUACAUUAUUUAAGUUGGGAUUACAUCAAAUACACAAGUCUCAUGUCGCUGCAAGCAUGCACCAUGACACUUGGGGGCUAAUGCAAAGUCAUUUUUUGCUCAUCUUAUUGAAGACCCGACUCAUCACAUUGUAAUGAGCCGGCCCUUGGGGGCUACCAAUUGCUCCUGUCAACAAUUCAAGGUACAAAGCUUUUUAUUCAUUAUAUUGAAGGGUCCACUGCUCAGUUGGUAAAACACAAGGCUCUUAACCAUGUGGACGUGGAUUCAAGCCCCAUGAUGGGGUUACAUCAUAUGAUGUUAUUUUUUAUUGAAGUAUAUAUCAAGUCCCAGCUCAAUAUUAUCUUACUGAGCCGGCCCUUGGGGGCUACACCAUUGCUAUUCAAAGUUUACAUGAUUAUAUUUACAAAGUCCCUGCUCAUUAUUGCAUAAUGAUCCGGCCCUUUGGGGCUACAGUGGUUGAAGUUUUUAUGAGCAUCAGGAAAUUACAAGUCCCAGGUUGCUGCAAGCUUGACAACCCGACACUUGGGGGCUACAUAUGUGGAAUACUCAGUUCUGACUAGUGAUUGAGAUGAACAAACUGGAUUUCUUCAAGCAUGUGACAUUCAUAUUGAAGCAAAUCUUAAGAUAUUACUAUGUUACCUUCUUAAGAUUUGAGGGCUACAAGUGAUGGGUAUAUAAGAGGUAUGUUUUCAAAAGCUGAUGUCAACAAACAGUUAUGAUUCGGUGCCAUCAAUAUUUCUAAACCGGCAAAGUUCUACAUUCUUAAACCGGCAAGUUUUACAUUCUUAAACCGGCUGAAGAUCAGAUGAGUAUUUCAAGGACCAAUAUUGUUUUUAAGCAUUGGUAGCUGAAUCAAAGGAGUUAUUCUUCAUAAUAUAUUUUCUAUGAGAAACCAAUGUCAGCAAGUUGAUUAUGAAGCUAGCCUAUUAAACCGGAUUUUCUAGAAGAAGGAAAUGACAAGGAUUUAAGGAUGCUCAGGAUCAGUUUAACAUGGAUAAAUCCAAAAUUAAACUGGGGGCUAAUGUCGGGGAUAUACCCUGCGGUAUGACCCGGCCGGAGUCGUAACCCGGCCGGGACUCGGUAAACUGGCAGGUGGUAAACCGGCAGGUGUUAAGUCAGGUGAUAAUCUGGUUGGUGUUAAGUCAGAUGAUAAUCCGGCAGGAGUUAAGUCAGAUGAUAGCCCGACGUACAAUCUUAAACUGGCAGACAAUGUUAAACCGGUAGACAAUGUUAAACCGGCAGACAAUGUUAAACCGGCAGACAAUGUUAAACCGGCAGACAAUGUUAAACCGGCAGGCAAUGUUAAACCGACAGACGUUAAGAAGCCCAGGAAGGGAAGUCAAAAUAGUUUAAGUCUUAGUCCGAGAUGGACUCUAGAUGUAACCUGCCCCUUUAACUUAUAUAAAGAGGGGCAGGGCUCCCCAAAGAGGGACAAGCAAGAAACAAUCUCUAGGGCUAGACACAACUAGAGGAAAGCCGGUUUACGGCGACUCCCUCAUGAUGAUAAUGAGAUCUAGCCUCAAACAUCAUGUAGGGUUGUUACCGAAUGAUGUUUCCCGGGGCCCGAAGCUGUCUAAACCCUUGUCUUGCGUUGCAUCUCUCGAUUCCGCUCAACCCCUCUCAAGCUACCACAUAGAUGCGUUGGCCUCACGACUAAGUCCUCACACUAAGGACAUCUGACGUGUUAAUUCCACGACAGUGCGUGUCAGCAUUACUAAUCCAGGGAUGACACUGAUGCACAGAGAUCAGACUGUUUGAGGUCUGGUUGCUACAAGAUGGUAUCAGAGCACACAUUGACUGUAGGACACGAUCACUAAGCUAAAACCCUAGAUCACUACCCUCUCUUCUCAUUUUUGAAACCUCAUCUUUUCUACUCUUUUAGGAAUGGCGGAUGCAAGGAACAAGUUCACGCAACCGGAUGAAGAUACACCCUUUGGACGCCACUUGAAGGAAGUCACUAAGUACCUGAACAUCGGAGUACCUAGCUUCACCGGGACCUACAUCGCCACUUUACCCGAAGAGGAGCGUUGGAUGAUUCAAGUUCAAGUUUUAGGAAGGAUGUUCAUGCCCGUCACUCAGCACAUAGAGUUUUCCUUCGAUGCACCAACCUGGAGUCUAGGAAAGAGCAUGGCAUCCCACAUCACCAUUGGACGCGUUGGAGAAGUUUACCACAAGGAGCUCAAGGAUACUAUUUACCAGAUUUGUGGGCGCCGAGAUGAGAAAUGGGAGAUGAUCAGCACCAGAAAGGAUAGAUCAAUUGUAGCUUUCAUCCAGGAGUUAAAUCAACACAUUCGUCGCCAGGAGAAUCAGAUGUGCGCAUGCAUGAUAGAUCUGAAGAAGGCUAUGACCAAGAUCACAGAGCUGGAGGAAGAACUCAAGUCUACACGCGAUGGAUAUGAGGAGGAAAUGACAACACUCGUGGAGAAGAAUGAAGAUCUGAAGAAGAAGCUAAAGGUGUUUAUGGGAUUUCCCGCGAUUGGAGGAGAAGACGAUGAUUUCACUUGCCCGGAGAACUAUAUCAUCAUCGACGACACCGACUUGGACCCAGAUGAUAGCGAUGAUGACUAUGUUGAUGAAGCUGGAGCAGAUAUCAUGGAGUCUUCGACCGAUCAAUUUUUUCUAGUCGACCACCAUAACAUUAGUAGUAUUCCCCCAUGUAUAUAGUAUAGUCCGAGCAGUUUUGUAACGAUAGUUAGAUCGUUGUAUGCCCUUGCUUGAAUUGAUUGAAAUGAUAUUAUUUUCUUUUUGUCUCAUGUUCAUAUGGGUAGUGUUUUCCCUCUAGACCUCAUUCUAUUAUGUAUUCUCAUCUUUUCUAAACCAUCAGAUGCCUCCGAGAUGUGACAAUGGAUUUGCUUUCCCACCAGAGCACACUCAGUUGAUCCAGCAACAGAAUGCAUUGAUGCAGCUUCUAGUCCAGAAUCAGAAUCAGGGGAACAACAACAACAACAAUAACCCACCGCCACCACCACCUAUUGAUCACUUAACCCAUUUCUUAAGACUGAAUCCGUGGUGUUCUCCAGUAGCACCGAGCCGAUAGUUACAGAUGAUUGGCUCCGCAAGACGGGAAGGGAGUUGACCACUUCAGGAUGCACGGAUGCGGAAAAGGUGCGUUUUGCCGCACAUCAGCUAGAUGGACCCACAACAUCAUGGUGGGAGAAUUUCACAGUCACUUAUCCUAUCGAUACUGUCACAUGGGACCAGUUUCAGCAGGCUUUCCAUACUGCCCAUGUUUCAGCAGGAGCUAUGGCCAUGAAGAAGCGUGAGUUUUGAAACUUACGCCAAGGAGGACGUACUGUUGGCCAGUAUGUGGAUGACUUUAGUAAGCUUGCAUGUUAUGCCCCAAAUGACGUUGCUACGGAUGUAGCUAAGCAAGAGAAGUUUCUGGAAGGACUGAAUGAUGAGCUGAGCAUGCAGUUGAUGAUAGCAACCUUCAACAACCAGCAGGAGUUGGUAGAUAGAGCUCUCAUGAUUGAAGGGAAACAACAACAGAUUGACAACCGUAAGAGGAAGUAUGGACAAGGGAAGUACAAUUCUGGAGCUCAGCAGAAGCCUCGUUUUACCCCGAAUUCGGGAGGACAUUUUCAGCAUACCCAUGGAGGAGGGAGCUCGCACAAUCAUAGUGGCCCCAAGAAUGGUAAUGGGAAUGGAGGAAGCAACAGCCAUAACUGUACCAACCCAUCAACCCCAGCCAAGAGGGAUCUGAGCCAAGUCACUUGCUAUAAGUGUCAGAGGACUGGACAUUAUGCCAAUGAAUGUCCUGAAGCUAAGAAUGGAAAUGGUAAUGGAAGCUCUGGGAAGAAGCCGAACCCUUUCAACAGGGGACAGGUGAACCACGUUAACGUGGAGGAGGUUGAAGCCCAGCUAUAUGCAGUAAUAGGUAAGUUUUUGGUUAAGUCAUUUACUUCAAUCGUUCUUUUUGAUACUGGUGCAUCACAUUCAUACAUAUCAAGGGGAUUUGUGGAUAAGUAUAAACUGCCCACCAAAGUUCUUAGAACAACUAUGUUAGUAAGCUCACCAGGAGCGGAGUAUAUGGCCAACCAAGGAUGUUUUCAAGUGCCAUUGAGCAUAGGUAGGCAUGUUUUCCCCUCGGAUUUAAUCAUUUUAGAAUCGCAAGGUUUGGAUGUGAUUCUGGGUAUGGAUUGGCUAUCGAUGUAUGGAGGAAACAUCGAUUGUGCCAGUAAGUCGAUUUUGCUUACCACCCCAUAAGGGAGAAGGAUCAAGUAUGUAUCACGGCAUGAGCCGAAGAGGACUCAAGUGAAUUCAUUAUCCGGAGUUGUACAAGAGGAAGUACCAGUGGUGAAGGAUUUCCCCGAUGUAUUUUCGGAGGAGUUGCCAGGCAUGCCACCGGACAGAGACAUUGAAUUUUUGAUUGAGCUUUUGCCAGGCACAAGGCCAAUAUCUAAGAGACCGUACAGGAUGCCCGCACAAGAUUUGGAGGAAAUUAAGAAGAAGAUUAAGGGAUUACUGGAUAAAGGCUAUAUUCUCCCAAGUUCGUCACCUUUGGGAUCGCCAGUGCUUCUAGUGGAGAAGAAGGAUGGAUCAUUGAGGAUGGUUGUUGAUUAUCGAGGAUUGAAUGAAGUGACAAUCAAGAACAAGUACCCGUUGCCUAUGAUCAAUGAUUUGUUUGACCAGUUGCAAGGAGCUAAGGUAUUUUCCAAGAUCGAACUGCGAUCAGGAUACCACCGAUUGAAGAUUCUAGAGCAGGAUAUACCUAAGACAUCAUUUACCACCAGGUACGGGCUGUAUGAGUAUACCGUUAUGUCAUUUGGUCUGACUAACGCACCUACCUAUUUCAUGAACAUGAUGAACAAGGUGUUUAUGGAGUUUUUGGAUAAGUUCGUCAUGGUGUUCAUUGACGACAUUUUGGUCUAUUCGAAGAAUGAAGAGGAGCAUAAGGAGCAUUUGCGUUUGGUACUUGGGAAGCUCAGAGAAUAUCAGUUAUAUGCCAAGUUCAGUAAGUGCGAAUUUUGGUUGAAGGAAGUUGGAUUCCUUGGACAUGUUAUAUCCGGAUAAGGAAUAACAGUAGACCCCACCAAAGUUGUCACUAUGACAAAUUGGGAAGCCCCAACGACAGUUGGAGAGAUCCGGAGUUUUCUUGGACUUGCAAGAUACUACCGGAGGUUCAUUGAGAAUUUCUCAAGGAUUGCAAAGCCCAUAACGGAGUUGUUGAAGAAGGACACCAAAUUCAAAUGGACUGAGGAAUGUGAGGCCAGUUUUCAGGAGUUGAAGAAACAUUUGGUUACAUCGCCAGUGUUGAUUUUGCCAGAUCAGCGCAAGGAUUAUGAGGUGUAUUGCGAUGCUUCAUGUUGAGGACUUGGAGCAGUACUUAUGCAGGAGGGAAGAGUUGCUUCAUAUGCCUCAGGACAACUUAAGCCCCAUGAGUUGAAUUAUGCUACACAUGAUUUGGAGUUAGCAGCCGUAGUGCAUGCAUUGAAGACAUGGAGGCAUUUUCUCAUCGGAAAUCAUUGUGAGGUGUACACGGAUCACAAGAGUUUGAAGUACAUCUUCACGCAAAAGGAGUUAAAUCUCGGGAAAAGGAGAUGGUUGGAGCUCAUCAGGGAUUAUGAUAUGAGAUUGCAUUAUCACCCUGGAAAGGCUAACGUAGUAGCCGAUGCAUUGAGCCGCAAGAGCCAUGUCAACACACUCUUGACCGGAGAGUUACCAAAGGAGUUAGCCGAGGAUCUUCGCGAGCUAUGUAUGGAGAUAGUUCUGAGAGGUUAUGUAGCAGCAUUGGAGAUUCAGUCUACUUUGAUGGAUAACAUCAGAGAAGCUCAAAAGACCGACAAGGAGACUGCCGCUAUAAAGGAGAGGAUGAGCAAAGGAAAAGCUAAAGGAUUUCGUGAGGAUGAGCACGAUACCUUAUGGUUUGAGGACCGCGUUUAUGUGCCUAAUGACCCGGAGAUCAGGAAGUUAAUUCUGCAGGAGGCCCAUGAUUCGCCACACUCAAUUCACCCAGGAAAUACCAAGAUGUAUCUGGAUUUGAAGGACACUUUCUGGUGGACCGGAAUGAAGAAAGAUAUUGCGGAGUACGUAGCAGUUUGUGAUGUAUGCCAGAGAGUAAAGGCACAGCAUCAGAAACCAGCAGGAUUGCUACAACCAUUGCUGAUACCCGAAUGGAAGUGGGAUAAACUAGGCAUGGAUUUUAUCACAGGAUUGCUCAGGACUCGUUCAGGCUAUGACUCAAUAUGGGUUGUACUCGAUCAUUUGACGAAGGUAGCUCAUUUUAUCCCAGUGAAGACCACUUACACCAGUGCUAAGUUGGCAAAGAUAUACAUGACCAGGAUCGUAUGUCUGCAUGGAGUUCCGAGGAGCAUUGUAUCAGAUAGAGGAACCCAGUUUACCUCAAAGUUCUGGAAUCAGUUGCAUGAAACUUUGGGUACCAGGCUAGAGUUUAGUACAGCCUUUCAUCCGCAGACAGAUGGAUAGACCAAGAGAGUCAAUCAAAUUUUGGAGGACAUGUUGAGAGCUUGUGCGCUAGCUUAUGGAUCUAGUUGGGACGAGAAUUUGCCGUAUGCGGAGUUCGCUUACAACCACAGUUAUCAAUGUAGUUUGAAGAUGACCCCUUCCGAAGCCUUGUACGGAAGGAGGUGCAGGACACCGUUAUUGUGGCACAAAGUUGGAGACCGUCAGUUGUUUGGGCCAGAUUUGAUUAAAGAGUCUGAACAGAAGGUGAAGUUGAUUCGCGAUAGGCUCAAGGUAGCCCAGACCAGGCAGAAGAGCUAUGCAGAUUCAAAACGCAAGGAGACAGUUUAUGAAGUCGGAGACAAAGUUUAUCUUCAUGUAUCUCCACUUCGAGGAGUUAAGCGUUUUGGAGUUAAGGGAAAGUUAGCGCCACGUUUUGUAGGACCAUACAAAGUUUUGGAGCGUAUGGGAGAAGUUGCGUACAAGUUGGAAUUGCCCGAAGGAUUGUCAGGAGUUCAUGAUGUGUUCCACGUAUCUCAGUUGAAGAAGUGCCAUGCGGAUAUGGCUGAGAUACGACUGAGAGAUACAGUGCCACUGGAAGUGAUUCAGCUGGAUAGGGAUUUGACCUAUGAGGAGAAACCCGUUAAGAUUCUCGAAUAUGCCAGCCGAGUCACUCGCAAGGUUAUCAAGUUUUGCAAAGUUCAGUGGAGCCACCACACCGAGGAUGAAGCCACCUGGGAGCGAGAGGAAGAUCUACUGAAGGACCAACCUCACCUAUUUUCCAGCCAACCCGAAUCUUGAGGGCGAGAUUCAUCUUAAGGGGGGUAGGUUUGUAACAUCCCAAAUUUUCAAUUUGGAAUAUUAUACAUUAGAUCAUCAUUGCAUAUCAUAUUUUAUUGCAUUUUGGCUUGAUCCUAGAAAUUCUACGGAACUCAAGGACCCACGGAGAGAGUUGGGGAUUUCGUUAUUUUCAUAUUUGAGUUUUCUCAAAUUUUGAAAAUAGGAUCAUUUGAUUUUAUUUAUUUUAUCUUCAAAUAUUUCUAUUACAAAAAUAAAAGAGAGGGAAUAAAAUGACUUUCCCAAAAUAAAAAUAUAUUGAGGAUUUAAUGAUAAAAUCAAAUAAUAUUUUAUUUCGGAGUUUUUCGCUAUUUUAUUUGAAUUUAGGAAAAUUGCACGUUUUUUAAAACUGCAUUUUAGGGCCAAGAAAAUGUUCAUCUCGUCCUAAAUAUUUUAUUUAGAUGGCGAAUUUUUUUUGGGCAUUUUUGGAGUUUUAUUUUAUUUUCUAGGAUUUAUUUUAGUUUUGGCGGAAUUUUUUUUUUAAAAUCUUUUCCCGCGGACCGAACUGGGCCGAAGGCCCAGCCGGCCCACUUGCUCGCGCUGCCUNNNNNNNNNNNNNNNNNNNNNNNNNNNNNNNNNNNNNNNNNNNNNNNNNNNNNNNNNNNNNNNNNNNNNNNNNNNNNNNNNNNNNNNNNNNNNNNNNNNNNNNNNNNNNNNNNNNNNNNNNNNNNNNNNNNNNNNNNNNNNNNNNNNNNNNNNNNNNNNNNNNNNNNNNNNNNNNNNNNNNNNNNNNNNNNNNNNNNNNNNNNNNNNNNNNNNNNNNNNNNNNNNNNNNNNNNNNNNNNNNNNNNNNNNNNNNNNNNNNNNNNNNNNNNNNNNNNNNNNNNNNNNNNNNNNNNNNNNNNNNNNNNNNNNNNNNNNNNNNNNNNNNNNNNNNNNNNNNNNNNNNNNNNNNNNNNNNNNNNNNNNNNNNNNNNNNNNNNNNNNNNNNNNNNNNNNNNNNNNNNNNNNNNNNNNNNNNNNNNNNNNNNNNNNNNNNNNNNNNNNNNNNNNNNNNNNNNNNNNNNNNNNNNNNNNNNNNNNNNNNNNNNNNNNNNNNNNNNNNNNNNNNNNNNNNNNNNNNNNNNNNNNNNNNNNNNNNNNNNNNNNNNNNNNNNNNNNNNNNNNNNNNNNNNNNNNNNNNNNNNNNNNNNCGCCUCCCCGCCCCGCCGGAGCCCCGAGUCCCGUCGGACCCAACGAGGUAACCGCCGGCGUCGCCGUUUUUAAAAAAACCCGUUCGGUUUUUUUAAAAACCCUAGAUCUGUUUUUUUGGUUCGUCGUUUUUUCUCGGUUUAGUUAUUUAACGGACGUUCAUACGUACAUUCGUUUUAACGAACGGUUUUCGUCGUUUAGUCGCAGACAGCGAACGUUCGUUCGAUAGCCUGUUCGUCCGUUUUUCUUUUUCUCAGAUUUUCCGCGAUUAUUCCAGAUCGUAAUUUCUGAUCCGAUUUUCAUUUUAGUAUAAAUUUUCGUCAGUUUAUCGGAAUCAGGCGAUUCAAGCACCUAGAGUUUCGUCUCGAAACCCUCUUUCCAUUUAACCAACUCAAACAAGUUUUUGCUACUAUAAAAUUUGACUUAGGUCCAGAUUAGUAAAAGAAGCUUGUUUCUUUCGCCGUUUGACUUUUGUUGCUUCAGUUGAUUUGAUUCUUUUUGCAAACCGGAGUUCUUAAGUUGAACUUUCUGGUUAGAUCUCUUAUUUGAGUUUUACCUGUGCAUUAGUUGAGUGCUUAUUGCAUGCUUGUUUGUUUGCGAUAAAGUACCCGGAGUGCGCCGCUUGCUACUUCAAAUCUCUAGGUUUCACGGAUCAUCAGCAAGGCAAGUAACACUUUGAUCAUACCUCUUUACUACCCAGUUUUAUUGAAUUAGAUCAACCCUCAAACAAUUGCAUGAUUAGGAUCUGUUUUAAACUGUGGGUUUUGGGAAGUAGAUUGAGGUAGUACCUAUUACCUGUUUUAUUAUCAAACCUUUGGGAGUUACUUCUAUGUUUGCUUAUAUUGCCAUGCUAUGCUAGUAGACGUGGAUUGGGUGAGUGUAUCCAUGACAGAUGUGAGAUUGUUAUUUAAUGGUUUAUUUAAGGUGGCAACUUUAAUACACAUCUGGGUGGAUUGAGGCACCUGGGGAACCCGGUGAUUGCCUGUUUUUUUGAUGGACCGCCACCCAGGCUCAAAGGGACCAUGAGAUUAUUCAUGCUAGAAACUUCCGUGUGCAGGCGCAAGCUACUAUGGGCUCUAGAAUAGUUGAUUAAGUCAUGUGAACUCUUAUAGUGGUAGACUAGCAGAUGUAGGGGAAAGUAGGUGUAACUGUCUACCCGAUCUUAAGGUGCAAACGGUUAUGAAAGACUAUGUCUCGACCAUCCGUUUCUCAAACACCUUGUAGUGCGAGAAUUCCAACGGAGGAGAUCGAGUCUUGUGGGGAAAGUGCUCAAACCUCUGCAGAGUGUACAAACUAAUCAUGGUUAGCCGUGUCCUCGGUUAUGGACGUUUUGAGUAUCUAGUACUUGGAUUUUCAUGUGAAUCUCAUCAUGUUACUUUAAUUUAAUUUGUUGGGUUUAAUGAUUAUGCUUAAUUGGGAUUGAGUUGGGUGAACCUUCUCAAUGUUAACAACCACCAUGAUAGUUAAAUAAAAUUUAUUCCUUUGUAGUAGGGAAUAAUUGGCUUUAUUGAAAACUGUAACAUAGAGUUUUCCACUAGCCAUAUAUGCAUGUAGUAUAGCAUUAUUCUGUUCAUUACUCUCUAUGUGUUUCAUUGCCAGCAUAUUCCAUGUGCUGACCCGUUUUCGGGCUGCAACAUUCAUGUUGCAGACUUUUCAGAGGACGAGUAAGGUGCCUUAGGUCGUGGUCUUAUACUCAGUGAUGCCAUUGGAGUUGAUGGACUUUCUUAUCUUCCAAGCCUUCCGCUAUUAUCGUUAUUAGAUGGCCUCAAGCCAUAUUUAUUGUAAUAAGUUCUCUUUUGAGACAUUCGAUGUAAUAAGUGUGUGAUUGCUACUCUGUUAUAAAUCCUUCGAGUACUGUGCGUGUCAGCAUUACUGAUCCAGGGAUGACACUGAUGCACAGAGAUCAGACUGUUUGAGGUAUUGUCGCUACAAUCGGAAACUUAAAUACAUGUGUGGAUAUAUAAACGAAAUAUUGUGUCCCUAGUGAGCCUCUACUAGACUAGCUCGUUGAUCAAAGAUGGUUAACGUUUCCUAACAUAGACAUGUGUUGUCAUUUAAUAACGGGCUCACAUCAUUAGAAGAAUGAUGUGAUGGACAGGACCCAUCCGUUAGCUUACCAUAUGAUCGUUCAGUUUAUUGUUAUUGCUUUCUUAAUGUCAAAUACAUAUUCCUUCGACCAUAAGAUCAUGCAACUACCGGAUACCGUAGGAAUACCUUAUGUGCUAUCAAACAUCACAACGUAACUGGGUGAUUAUAAAGAUGCUCUACAUGUAUCUCCAAAGGUGUUUGUUGAGUUGGCAUGAAUCGAGAUUAAGAUUUGUCACUCCGUGUAUCAGAGGGGUAUCUCUGGGCCCUCUCGGUAAUACACAUCACAAGAAGUUUGCAAGCAAAGUAACUAAGGAGUUAGUUACGAGAUGAUGUAUUAUGGAACGAGCAAAGAGACUUGCCAGUAACGAGAUUGAACUAGGUAUGAAGAUACCGAUGAUCGAAUCUCGGGCAAGUAACAUACCGAUAGACAAAGGGAAUUACGUAUGGUGUCAUAAGGUUCGGCCGAUAAAGAUCUUCAUAAAAUAUGUAGGAACCAAUAUGGGAAUCCAGGUUCCGCUAUUGAUUAUUGAUCGGAGAGGUAUCUUGGUCAUGUCUACAUAGUUCUUGAACCCGUAGGAUCCGCACACUUAACAUUCCUUGACGAUAUAGUGUUAUAUGAGUUGGUGACCGAAUGCUGUUUGGAGUCCCAGAUGAGAUCACGAAUAGGACGAGGAGCUACGGAUUGGUCCGGAGGUUAAGAUUGAUAUAUAGGAUGAUGCUAUUUGGACACCGGAAGAGUUUCGGGAGAUACCGGGUAGUCAUCGGAUCACCGGAAGGGGUUUCAGGAACCCCCGGGAGGUUAAUGGGCCAUUAAACCCAUUAAGAGGCGCUAUAAUGGUGGUCAACCAGCUACGCCAUGUGUUGCAUGCUGGUUGGUCAUGGUGAGAAUGUUUUUUUUGGAGUUUUUUAAAUGGUAGGGAGGCUUUCGAGAAAAGCUUUUCUAGGCUUUUUCUUUGUUCUUUUAAGAUGGUUGUGAUGUCUAUGUGAUGCGAGAAUAUCUUUUUAAUUUUUUUGACAUGAUGAUAAGGUGCGCAUAUCUUCCUCUCAAGCGACCCGCAAUGGCAGGCCCCAACAACUAGUGUGGGCCAAAGGGGGAGGACACACCAACCCACAAGGGGCUGGCGUGCCCCUUCUAAUGCCGCAGCCCUUCGGGAGAGAAGGAAAGGGGGGAGUCAGCCUCCCCCUUCCUUCCCUCUCCUCCCCUUUCCCUCCCCCUUGUGCAAACAAGGUACGCGGGGGCGGGGGGGAGGGGUGCCACAGGGCAGGAGCCCAAGGGGGCCGGCGGCCACCCUUGGGGUGCCUCCUGGCUGCCUCCCCUCCCCCACACCUAUAUAUAUGAGGGAGGGGGCACAACACAUAUGUCAGGACCCCGACUCAAUGCCACAUCGAUCUAGCAUGUAACACCUCAUAUCACUUUGCGGUCUCACGCACGGUAUCCCCACGGGUGUCGCCUUACCUUUCCCCGGGACCGUUUGCGCCUUUUGGCACAUGUAUAUGAUGGUGUCGCUAGCAUCCAUAUGAUAAAGAGCCCGGGCUGACAUGGCUAGUCGUAAACCCAAAGUGGCACUAACUUACAGGGACAGGCAUCCAUGACCUAGCAUCGAACGUGUCGGUCAUCAGCGGGUGAAUCCAGGCUGUAGCACUGGGCUAACAGGACUCCGGUGAACCGGGCUGUAGCAGGCUAACAGGACUCCAGUAUUCCUCGCGUGACAUUUCCCCGAAGGGACAGACACAUGAUCGAAGAAGGACACAUGCCGGCCAGCCUAAGUGUUCCGGAGCAGUAGCAAGCUACCAGGGCUCAGUGGAAGCACUAGGAGACAUUUCCCGGUAAGAGAGGCUACUAAGGAUAAACAACUAGAUAGUCAGAUCCCACACAUAGCAAUACACAUUACACGUACGCAUAACAUGCAAGUAUGUGCUGUAUAACAUGGCAUCACAGCAUAACUCAACAACUCAUAUAGAUAAGGCUCAAAGAGCCAACAUAGCAAUAUUACAACCAGGGGUCACACGACCCAACGUUCAGAGCAAUCAAGCAACAAACAGAAGCAUUACAUGUCUGAGUACAGACAUCUAUAAAUGAAAAAGGCUGAAAGCCUGACUAUCUACAACGUCCGAUCAAGAUCGUAGUUGAGGUACAAGCUACUCGUCGAAGUCCAUGAGAACACUAGUAAGACCGAAGUCUCCGCUGCAAAAGCAUAAAUAAAGCAACAUGAGUACAAAGGUACUCAGCAAGACUUACAUCAGAUCCUAUCAUACAUGCAUUUGUAUCAAGAGGGUAAUGUGGGGUUUAGUUGCAGCAAGCCAGCUUUGACUCUGUGGCUAUCCUGUUCUACGACUACCAAAAAAUCUUGAGGUGAGACAACGUACACAAGUCCACUAAUCACCACACAAUACACUACUAUGGAUUCAUCCCCGUCUCCCUACGAGAAGGCCAUCCAUAGCACUCACACUUGUCUUGAGCAUUUUAGAGUAUCCACUUCAAGUUGUCUAUGUACCAUGUAAGCAUCCAAGAAGUCCAUAACCGCGGACCUGGCUAUUCGAAUAGAUCAUGUUAACCCUGCAGGGGUGUACUUCUUCACACACGCUCUCGCCACUUACCACCAUGUACACGUCAUGUAUCUCGACAACCUUCAAGCAGAAGCCUGGCGAGGGUGUCGGCCACGACCUGACUAACCACACAAGACUCUAGCCCAGGUUUAUCGCCUAUUCGGGUUCCAUCCGCAAGGAGAUCCGGCCGGGGUGUCGCUCACGGCCCCAAACGAUGUGAGCAGGGUUCCCAAGCCCACCAUCCGGGUGCCACUUGGUACACCGUGCCACCUGUGCCUAGUCUGUCCCAAGCCCACCCUGCCGGGUGCCACUUGGUAGAAAAAUAGCACUACCUACAAACACCAGAAACUAGUUGCGACUCCUGGACAUAGAUCAAGUUGGCUAAUAAGUCGAGAGGGGCACUUAAGCAUUCCAAUGUGUGGUAGUAUCGAGUCAUUGGACAACAUACAUAGAACUCAGUGCUUAAGGACGGUUCCAAUGAGACAACCCACCAUGUACUCCUACAUGGCCUCUCACCGCUACCUUUACCAAAUCGUGUUCACACACUUAACUCUCAGCACCAGAACAUAUCGUAACACUCCAAUUCAUCCCAAUGAAUCAGACCUGACACAAUUCUAAGCAAUAGUAGGCAUAGCAUGGUAGGAACACAUCAGUGGCUGCAAUCAACUCCUACACAUGCUAGUGGGUUUCAACUAUUUACUAUGGCAAUGACAGGUCAUGCAGAGGAAUGGGUUCAACUACCGCAGCACAAAGUAGCAGAUGAAUCGUUGUUGUUCUAAUGCAAUAACUGAGAGCAGGAGCGAGAGAGUAGGGUUUUAUCGAAAUGAACAAGGGGGUUUGCUUGCCUGGUAGAUCAACAAGGAAGGCACUGCUUCAUAGACAGGCACUCUGGAACAGACUCCGGAGCAGGACCUAUCGAGAAGGAACAGUGUCGGCAAUUAAUACACAAACAUAUGCAACAAUAUGAUGCAUGAACAUGGCAUGAGGAUGUGAGGUUGUUUGAGCUAAUGCAACUAGUAAUCAUUUGGUUUGAAGUCCAUUUGAACCAUAAGCUCAAAUGCAAUUCUAAAUUAAGUCUCUUAAUAUGCCAUAAUGUGUUUUCCCAUAUUCAGCAUGUAUAAGUUGGUUUGUCAUGCAUGAAACUAGUACAGAUGGAUAGAUUGCAUUUUUCUGAUAAUUUUUCAUAUAUAAAUUAUUUUAAUCUGAGCUACGGUUGAUUUGAUAUGAAUUUUUGAAGUUUAAAUCAAUUUCUGGAAUUUCCUGAUUUAUUCUAAUUCCAGAAAAUAUAUAUUGCGCCGGCAUGACGUCAGCACGACGUCAGCAGUCAACUGCGGCUGACUGGGGUCAAACCUGAUGUGUGGGGUCCACACGUUAGUGACAGGGGGGUUUAACCGAGGUUAGUUUAAUCCUAAUUAAAAGUUAGUGGCGCUGGGGCCCACUGUCAGUGUUAGGGGGGGUUAGUUAACGGUUAUUAGCACUAAGCUAAUCACCUGGCCGACGGGGCCCACCCGUCAGGCCGGCGAGGUCAUCGGCGGCGACCUCUGGACGCGGCGGCGUCCGCGAUACCGGCCACGGGGACGGCGUCGGAGAGCACCGAGGCGUAGCCCGGGCUCUCGCGCAUCUGGAGGGGCAGGUGGGAGGAGCUGGGGAGGCCGGAGCUCGCCGGAGCAAAGCUCGGGGCGGCGGCCGGAGUUCGGUGAAGAGGGACGGAGCGCUAUGGUGCACGGGAGGAAGAGUGGGUAGGUGCUCUGUGUUCCUGGGAACGCGCCGAGGACGACAGCGUGCUCAGACGCGACGUGUGGGGGCUCUAGCCGCGGCGACCUCGUGGCCGGCGGCGAUGAGCUCUCGGGCUCGACGGAGCCCGCGGUUGGAGGAAGAAAUCGGCAUCGGGGAGGGGGAGGUUCGGUGCGGGGGCUCACAGCGAGACCAGCGAGCGCGAGGGCGAGGUCGGGGAUGCCCGGUAGCUCCCGAAUGGACGGCGAGGAUCCACGGCGGCCGGAGGCGAAGUUGGCGACGGCGACGGCUCCACGGGGUGCUCCGUCUUGCGUGGCUCGACGAGGAGGUAGAGGGGGUCGCGGCGGAUCUGGGGAGCGUGUCGGGGAGGCGAGGGGGAGGCGGUGGCUACGGCUACGGUGGACGGCGGCGAUGAGCUCCGCUCGGCUGCGCGCGAGAGAGAGAGCAGAGGAGGGGGGAAGGAACGAGAGAGAGUGAGAGGGUACGGGGGGGGUGGCGUCUCCCGGGGCAUCCAGACGAGGAGGGGAGAGGGCAGGCAGGCAGAGAGGGAGGAGGUGGCGCGGCGCGGCACGCAGCUACUUGGCGAGGGGGAGAAGACGACAGAGGAGGAGGCGGGCUGGGCCGCCUGCUGGCUGGGCCGGCCUGCUGCUGCUGGGCUGCACAGGGAGGAGGCCCAGGUAAGUCUCCCUCUUUUAUUUUUGUUUUCUAAUUUUUUCUGACAUUUGUUUUGAUUUAAUUAAAAUAUGAAAUCAUUUAAUUACCUUAUGCCAAUUUUUGCAGGAGCUAGCUAUAUUAUUCCAGAGCUCCUUUAUAAAUGGCUUAAUUUUUGGACAAUAUUUUAUAUAUAUAACAAUAUAUAUCCAAAGCAAAUAAUUAUCGGAUUAAUCCAAAUGGCCAAAAUUAAAUAUCCAUAAGCUCCUAAAAAUAUUGGUUUGAUUUUUAUCUUUGUCCAAUAUUUUCAGAGAGCAACAUGAGCAUUUUCUUGGACCCUUUUGGAGAAAUUUUUAUUUGCGUCAUUUUCAAAAAUGAUUCUGAGGGUUCCACCAAUCCUCAUUUCAAAUUUAAAUGAAUUUUAAACAUGAUGCACAAAUGACUAGCUAGUCUAGGUCAUACCAGACUAGGGAUGUGACAACUCGCCCCCACUUGAAAGAAUCUCGUCCCGAGAUUCAGGGGUUGACGGAAAGAAAGCGGGGUACUCCAGUCGAAGACGAUCUUCUCGCUCCCAAGUAGCUUUUCUCUCGGAAUGAUGAGACCACUGAACUUUGAGAAACUUGAUGUUCUGACGUCGGGUAACACGCUCGGCUUGAUCAAGAAUGCGAACCGGGUACUCUCGGUAUGUGAGGUUAUCUUGGAGAUCAAGCGUUUCGUGGUCCACUCCGCGGAUGGGAUCCGAGAAGCAACGCCUGAGUUGAGAGACGUGGAAGACAUCAUGAACUCAAGAAAGAGGUGGGGGUAGUUCCAACUGGUAGGCAACCUCUCCUCGUUUAGCGAGAAUACGAAAAGGACCAAUGUAACGAGGAGCCAACUUGCCCUUGAUACCGAAAUGAUGGGUACCCUUCAAAGGAGUAACCCGAAGGUAAGCCUUUUCGCCAACUUCAUAAGUCAUAUCCUUAUGAUGACGAUCAUACUGACUCUUUUGACGAGACUGGGCUGUUUUCAAAUUCCCACGAAUGAUGCGAACUUGCUCUUCUGCCUCCUGGAUCAUGUCCGGUCGAAAGAAUUGUCUUUCACCGGUUUCUGACCAGUUCAAAGGUGUUCGACAUCUCCAUCCAUAGAGAACCUCAAAAGGAGCUUUCUUAAGGCUGGAUUGAUAGCUAUUGUUAUAAGCAAACUCAGCAAAAGGAAGACAUUUCUCCCAAUCCAUACCGAAUGAGAUAACGCAAGCUCUAAGCAUGUCUUCGAGAAUUUGAUUGACCCGUUCCACCUGACCACUCGACUGAGGGUGGAAAGCGGUACUGAAGGAAAGAUGGGUUCCCAUGGCAGUUUGGAAACUCUCCCAGAAAUGAGAAGUGAAAAGACUGCCACGGUCUGAAUUGAUCUCCAGUGGAACACCAUGGAGUGAUACUAUUCGAGAAAUGUAUAAGUCAGCAAGCUGACUAGCGGUGAUACUCUCUCGAACAGGAAGGAAGUGAGCCACUUUGGAAAGACGAUCAACGACUACGAAGAUAGUGUUAUUCCCUCUUUUGGUCCUGGGAAAGCCGGUGAUGAAGUCCAUACCAAGUUUAUCCCAUUUCCAUUCAGGAAUAGCUAAAGGCUGAAGGGUGCCAGCAGGUCUCUGAUGCUCUGCCUUAACGCGACGACGAACGUCACAUUUAGCAAUGAACUCAGCGAUUUCUCUCUUCAUCCUAGUCCACCAGAACCUCUGGCGUAGGUCCUGAUACAUCUUAGUGCUACCGGGAUGAAUUGUGAGAGGAGAUUCAUGCGCCUCCUUAAGAAUCAAUUGUCGCAGAUGUUGAUUCUUGGGAACCACCAAGCGAUUCUCAAAGAAAACAACACCACGAUCAUCCAUAGAGAAACAUCCACCAACUCCCUUCUUAAUGUUUUUCUUAAUGCGGAUAACACCCCUAUCAAACUUCUGGUCAGAGAUGAUCUGAUCUUCAAGGGUAGGUUUCGCCACCAAGGUAGAAAGGAAUCCAUGAGGAGCCAUGUGAAGGUUAAGCUUACAGAAUUCCUCAUGGAGAAGUGGUUGGCCUUGCUGCAACAUGAAAUUGUUGCAAUAGGAUUUACGGCUUAGAGCAUCAGCCAUGACAUUGGCUUUGCCUGGGGUGUAGGUAAUCCCUAGACCAUAAUCUGUGAUUAACUCCAACCAACGUCUUUGCCUAAGGUUCAGAUCCGGUUGGGUGAAGAUAUACUUGAGACUCUGGUGAUCGGUGUAGAUCUCGCAACGUUUACCAAGGAGGUAAUGUCGCCAGGUCUUGAGUGCAUAGACUACGGCUGCAAGCUCUAGAUCAUGUGUAGGAUAAUUACCCUCAUGUGGAUGCAACUGUCGAGAUGCAUAGGCAAUCACAUGACGAUCUUGCAUAAGAAUGCAACCUAGUCCCUGUCGUGAGGCGUCGCAGUAGAUAAUAAAGUCCUUUGUGAAAUCCGGUGGCACAAGUAUGGGAGCAGAAGUCAGGCGUCUUUUCAGUUCCUGAAAACUGUACUCACACUGUCGGGACCACUCGAACUUUUUAUCCUUCUUGAGAAGUUCCGUGAGGGGUUUGGCUACUUUGGAGAAGUUUUCAACAAAGCGGCGACAAUAGCUGGCUAGACCAAGGAAGCUCCUAACUUGCUUAACGGUCUCAGGUGGAGUCCAAUCAAGAACGGCUUGAACUCUCUCGGGAUUGACAGCAAUGCCCUUACCAGAGAUUACGUGGCCUAAGUAGGUCACUUCUAGCAACCAAAAUUCACACUUGGAGAACUUGGCAUAAAGGCGGUGCUCUCUGAGUUUUUCUAACACAAGUCUAAGAUGUUCGACAUGCUCUUCCUCGUUCUUCAAGUAAAUAAUAAUAUCAUCAAGGUAAACCACGACGAACUUAUCUAAGUACUCCAUGAAGAUCGAGUUCAUCAAGCGGGAGAAUGUGGCUGGGGCGUUGGUUAGGCCAAAGGACAUGACGGUGUACUCGUACUGGCCAUAACGAGUGACAAAAGCUGUCUUGGGAAUGUCCCCGUUUCUGAUCUUAAUUUGGUGGUAUCCUAACCUCAAAUCCAACUUGGAUAAGACUGAGGAUCCAGCGAGCUGAUCAUACAGAUCAUUGAUCCUGGGGAGCGGAUAUUUGUUCUUUAUCGUGACCAAGUUAACAGGACGAUAAUCUACAACCAUCCGGUCCGUACCAUCCUUCUUCUUGACGAAGAGGACGGGGCAAGCCCAAGGAGAAGAACUAGGACGGAUGAAACCCUUUUGCAAGGACUCAUCAAGUUGUUUCUUAAGCUCGGCUAGAUCCAAGGGUGCCAUCUUGUAAGGUCUCCUAGAGAUUGGAGCUGUUCCUGGGAUAAGAUCUAUGACGAACUCUACAUCUCUGUCAGGUGGAACACCUGGCAGUUCCUCUGGAAAGACAUCCGGAAAGUCACGGACUACCGGGAUAUCUUCAAGGUCUGGAAGAGGGCUGGUAUUAAGAGCAUAGAGCUGACGCUUUGCAACUCUAGUGGAGACAGUGACUAUCUUGCCAGAUGGGUGUGUAAGCUGAACAGAUCUUGUGUAACAAUCAAUCUUGGCAUGAUGAGCUAUCAUCCAGUCCAUACCCAAGAUGAUGUUAAUAUCUGAGGACUUGAGGGCUACGAGUGAGGCAAGGAAUACAAGUCUGUCAACAAGGAUUUCGUUACCAUGGCUUACACUAGAGGUUUGCCAUUUGGAUCCAGGAGUUUGGAUGACUAGCGGAGUUGGCAUAUCACAAAAUGACAGAUUGUGCAAGUUAGCAUAGCUUUCAGAAAUGAAGGAGUGAGAUGCUCCAGUAUCGAAUAGAACUGAUGCUGGGUGACAAUUGACAAGGAGUGUACCAAGAACGACAUCCGGAUCAUCAUGAGCAUCUUUAGCUGAGACGUGAUGCACACGUCCACGUUCAGUGGGGGCUGACUUGACACUGAUCAUCUUGCGUGAUGGCUUAACACAUCCAACAGUCUUCUCGGGCUGGGGUGGAGCAUAACUAGUCUGAGAGCAGUCACGUGCAUAGUGUCCUGGCUUCCCGCAUGUGAAGCAAGUCCCUGAGGUUGGACGUGGACCCGCACUGACAAGGGGUCUACCAGUAGGCCUGGGUGGAACAUAUGACUGAGCUGGGGGAGGCACCACAUGGGAUGACCUCGGUGUAUAACCGGAAGGAAGAGCGGAGUUUGGAACCCAAAUCCGGUGCUUUUGAGAACUAGAACCGGAAGAAGAUCCCAAAUCACGGGGGUGCUUACGAGACUCCUCGUAAGUGAGCUGAGCUGUCUCUGCAUUGAUGGCCUUGUUCACAAGGGCUUGGAAUGUAUCACAAUGAUGCAGGUGGAGAUCACGACGCAACUUGGGGUUGAGACCCUUCCGGAACCUAGCUUGCUUCUUGGCGUCCGUGGACACUUCUUCUGUAGCAUAGCGGGCGAGGUUCUCAAACUCUCUACUAUAAGCAUCAACAGCCAUCUUACUCUGGGUGAGACUACAGAACUCUUAUCUCUUGCGAUCAAGGAGGGCCUGGGGAAUGUGAUGCUCGCGAAAAGCCUCAGUGGAAUCUCUCCAGGUAGGAAUCUGGCCAGCUGGAAGCAUAGCCUCAUAGUUCUGCCACCAAAGACUAGCAGGACCUUCCAGGUGGUAUGUGGCAUAGGUGACCUUGUCAUCUUCAGCUACGCUCGCGGAACGCAGCUUAUGAAUGAUGCUACGGAGCCAGUCAUCUGCAUCGAGUGGCUCGAUGGAAUGAUGAAAGGUAGGUGGGUGCAAGCGAAUGAAGUCAUGAAUGGUCGCAGACUUAUUGGACUGACGUGCGGUGUUCUCCUCGAUACGUGCCAACAAACGGUUAGACUCACGCUUGUUCCUCUCCAUCUCUAACAUGAACUCUGUCAACGAAGGCGGGUCGGGAGGAUCCUCAUCCCUACCAUCUCCAUGGUUCUGGCUACAAAUAAUAGAACUUGAUGACAUCCUGAGAAACGAAACCAGGGACGGAGUCAGCAUCAACUAUAGACUGUAGAAUGUAGGACAAGGAAUUAGUAUCUCUCGAACUUCUAGGGAAAUUCCGGCAGCAUAACGACAGUAAAAUGCUCAGAAUGAGACAUCCCGCUAAAAUAGGGUAGUAACAUACUCAUCAACAUUACUCAAGUUUCUGAGAUCAUACUAAACAGGCUACACCAGGAGUACUCGAAAACUGGGGUAUGACUCUGAUCAACCAAUCCUAUGGGACUACGGAGUAGUAACACGUGAUCCUGAUAGACGGAAGAGAAAGCCUAGUUCCUUAACCCCGUAGAAAGGAUAGGAUGACUCAGAUCAGAAGGCCAUGAGGUAUAAGGAGUAAAAAGAGCCUUACGUUCCAACCCACAAUCAAUUCCCUUACAUAACUAAAGAUUUUCUAGACUCAACUUCGACCAGUUUGGCUUGGUAAUCCUACAGGCAGUCAGGCUCUGAUACCAACGCUGUCAGGACUCCGACUCAAUGCCACAUCGAUCUAGCAUGUAACACCUCAUAUCACUUUGCGGUCUCACGCACGGUAUCCCCACGGGUGUCGCCUUACCUUUCCCCGGGACCGUUUGCGCCUUUUGGCACACGUAUAUGAUGGUGUCGCCAGCAUCCAUAUGAUAAAGAGCCCGGGCUGACAUGGCUAGUCGUAAACCCAAAGUGGCACUAACUUACAGGGACAGGCAUCCAUGACCCAGCAUCGAAUGUGUCGGUCAUCAGCGGGUGAAUCCAGGCUGUAGCACUGGGCUAACAGGACUCCGGUGAACCGGGCUGUAGCAGGCUAACAGGAUUCCGGUAUUCCUCGCGUGACAUUUCCCCGAAGGGACAGACACAGGAUCGAAGAAGGACACAUGCCGGCCAGCCUAAGUGUUCCGGAGCAGUAGCAAGCUACCAGGGCUCAAUGGAAGCACUAGGAGACAUUUCCCGGUAAGAGAGGCUACUAAGGAUAAACAACUAGAUAGUCAGAUCCCACACAUAGCAAUACACAUUACACGUAUGCAUAACAUGCAAGUAUGUGCUGUACAACAUGGCAUCACAGCAUAACUCAACAACUCAUAUAGAUAAGGCUCAAAGAGCCAACAUAGCAAUAUUACAACCAGGGGUCACACGACCCAACGUUCAGAGCAAUCAAGCAACAAACGGAAGCAUUACAUGUCUGAGUACAGACAUCUAUAAAUGAAAAAGGCUGAAAGCCUGACUAUCUACAACGUCCUAUCAAGAUCGUAGCUGAGGUACAAGCUACUCGUCGAAGUCCAUGAGAACACUAGUAAGACCGAAGUCUCCGCUGCAAAAGCAUAAAUAAAGCAACAUGAGUACAAAGGUACUCAGCAAGACUUACAUCAGAUCCUAUCAUACAUGCAUUUGUAUCAAGAGGGUAAUGUGGGGUUUAGUUGCAGCAAGCCAGCUUUGACUCUGUGGCUAUCCUGUUCUACGACUACCAGAAAAUCUUGAGGUGAGACAACAUACACGAGUCCACUAAUCACCACACAAUACACUACUAUGGAUUCAUCCCCGUCUCCCUACGAGAAGGCCAUCCAUAGCACUCACACUUGUCUUGAGCAUUUUAGAGUAUCCACUUCAAGUUGUCUAUGUACCAUGUAAGCAUCCAAGAAGUCCAUAACCGCGGACCCGGCUAUUCAAAUAGAUCAUGUUAACCCUGCAGGGGUGUACUUCUUCACACACGCUCUCGCCACUUACCGCCAUGUACACGUCAUGUAUCUCGGCAACCUUCAAGCGGAAGCCUGGCGAGGGUGUCGGCCACGACCUGACUAACCACACAAGACUCUAGCCCAGGUUUAUCGCCUAUUCGGGUUCCAUCCGCAAGGAGAUCCGGCCGGGCUGUCGCUCACGGCCCCAAACGAUGUGAGCAGGAUUCCCAAGCCCACCAUCCGGGUGCCACUUGGUACACCGUGCCACCUGUGCCUAGUCUGUCCCAAGCCCACCCUGCCGGGUGCCACUUGGUAGAAAAAUAGCACUACCUACAAACACCAGAAACUAGUUGCAACUCCUGGACAGAGAUCAAGUUGGCUAAUAAGUCGAGAGGGGCACUUAAGCAUUCCAAUGUGUGGUAGUAUCGAGUCAUUGGACAACAUACAUAGAACUCAGUGCUUAAGGACGGUUCCAAUGAGACAACCCACCAUGUACUCCUACAUGGCCUCUCACCGCUACCUUUACCAAAUCGUGUUCACACACUUAACUCUCAGCACCAGAACAUAUCGUAACACUCCAAUUCAUCCCAAUGAAUCAGACCUGACACAAUUCUAAGCAAUAGCAGGCAUAGCAUGGUAGGAACACAUCAGUGGCUGCAAUCAACUCCUACACAUGCUAGUGGGUUUCAACUAUUUACUGUGGCAAUGACAGGUCAUGCAGAGGAAUGGGUUCAACUACUGCAGCACAAAGUAGCAGAUGAAUCGUUGUUGUUCUAAUGCAAUAACUGAGAGCAGGAGCGAGAGAGUAGGGUUUUAUCGAAAUGAAAAAGGGGGUUUGCUUGCCUGGUAGAUCAACAAGGAAGGCACUGCUUCAUAGACAGGCACUCUGGAACAGACUCCGGAGCAGGACCUAUCGAGAAGGAAUAGUGUCGGCAAUCAAUACACAAACAUAUGUAACAAUAUGAUGCAUGAACAUGGCAUGAGGAUGUGAGGUUGUUUGAGCUAAUGCAACUAGUAAUCAUUUGGUUUGAAGUCCAUUUGAACCAUAAGCUCAAAUGCAAUUCUAAAUUAAGUCUCUUAAUAUGCCAUAAUGUGUUUUCCCAUAUUCAGCAUGUAUAAGUUGGUUUGUCAUGCAUGAAACUAGUACAGAUGGAUAGAUUGCAUUUUUCUGAUAAUUUUUCAUAUAUAAAUUAUUUUAAUCUGAGCUACGGUUGAUUUGAUAUGAAUUUUUGAAGUUUAAAUCAAUUUCUGGAAUUUCCUGAUUUAUUCUAAUUCCAGAAAAUAUAUAUUGCGCCGGCAUGACGUCAGCACGAUGUCAGCAGUCAACUGCGGCUGACUGGGGUCAAACCUGACGUGUGGGGUCCACACGUCAGUGACAGGGGGGUUUAACCGAGGUUAGGUUAAUCCUAAUUAAAAGUUAGUGGCGCUGGGGCCCACUGUCAGUGUCAGGGGGGUUAGUUAAUGGUGAUUAGCACUAAGCUAAUCACCUGGCCGAUGGGGCCCACCCGUCAAGCCGGCGAGGUCAUCGGCGGUGACCUCUGGACGCGGCGGCGUCCGCAAUACCGGCCACGGGGACGGCGUCGGAGAGCACCGGGGCGUAGCCCGGGCUCUCGCGCAUCUGGAGGGGCAGGUGGGAGGAGCUGGGGAGGCCGGAGCUCGCCGGAGCAAAGCUCGGGGCGGCGGCCGGAGUUCGGUGAAGAGGGACGGAGCGCUAUGGUGCACGGGAGGAAGAGUGGGUAGGUGCUCUGUGUUCCUGGGAACGCGCCGAGGACGACAACGUGCUCAGACGCGACGUGUGGGGGAUCUAGCCGCGGCGACCUCGUGGCCGGCGGCGAUGAGCUCUCGGGCUCGACGGAGCCCGCGGUUGGAGGAAGAAAUCGGCAUCGGGGAGGGGGAGGUUCGGUGCGGGGGCUCACAGCGAGACCAGCGAGCGCGAGGGCGAGGUCGGGGAUGCCCGGUAGCUCCCGAAUCGACGGCGAGGAUCCACGGCGGCUGGAGGCGAAGUUGGCGACGGCGACGGCUCCACGGGGUGCUCCGUCUUGCGUGGCUCGACGAGGAGGUAGAGGGGGUCGCGGCGGAUCUGGGGAGCGUGUCGGGGAGGCGAGGGGGAGGCGGUGGCUACGGCUACGGUGGACGGCGGCGAUGAGCUCCGCUCAGCUGCGCGCGAGAGAGAGAGCAGAGGAGGGGGGAAGGAACGAGAGAGAGUGAGAGGGUACGGGGGGGGGGUGUGGCGUCUCCCGGGGCAUCCAGACGAGGAGGGGAGAGGGCAGGCAGGCAGAGAGGGAGGAGGUGGCGCGGCGCGGCGGUGCGCGCGGCACGCAGCUGCUUGGCGAGGGGGAGAAGACGACAGAGGAGGAGGCGGGCUGGGCCGCCUGCUGGCUGGGCCGGCCUGCUGCUGCUGGGCUGCACAGGGAGGAGGCCCAGGUAAGUCUCCCUCUUUUAUUUUUGUUUUCUAAUUUUUUCUGACAUUUGUUUUGAUUUAAUUAAAAUAUUAAAUCAUUUAAUUACCUUAUGCCAAUUUUUGCAGGAGCUAGCUAUAUUAUUCCAGAGCUCCUUUAUAAAUGGCAUAAUUUUUGGACAAUAUUUUAUAUAUAUAACAAUAUAUAUCCAAAGCAAAUAAUUAUCGGAUUAAUCCAAAUGGCCAAAAUUAAAUAUCCAUAAGCUCCUAAAAAUAUUGGUUUGAUUUUUAUCUCUGUCCAAUAUUUUCAGAGAGCAACAUGAGCAUUUUCUUGGACCCUUUUGGAGAAAUUUUUAUUUGGGUCAUUUUCAAAAAUGAUUCUGAGGGUUCCACCAAUCCUCAUUUCAAAUUUAAAUGAAUUUUAAACAUGAUGCACAAAUGACUAGCUAGUCUAGGUCAUACCAGACUAGGGAUGUGACAACAUAGGCGACGACAAUCUCUUAGCCGUGUGCGGCGCCCCUCUCCAUAGUUUCGUCCCUCGGUCAUAUUUUCGAAGUUCUUAGGCAAAGCCCCGCGGAGAUAGCAUCACCACCAUCGUCACCAUGCCAUCAUGCUGCCGGAACGCAUCUACUACUUCACCCGUCUUGUUGGAUCAAGAAGGCAAGGACAUUACCGAGUUGAACGUGUGCUGAACGCGGAGGUGCCGUACGUUCGGUACUUGAUCGGUUGGAUCGCGAAGAAGUUCGACUACAUCAACCGUGUUAAUAAACGCUUCCGCUUACGGUCUACGAGGGUACGUAGACACACUCGUCCCCCUUAUUGCUAUGCAUCUUCAUGGAUAGAUCUUGCGUGUGCGUAGAUUUUUUUCCAUGCAAUGUUCCCCAUCAAAAAGGACUAGAGGGAGCAGCAUGCAACCUCAUGCAAAGCAUACUGAUGACAUGCUGAUAUGUCUCCGUCGUAUCUAUAAUUUUUGAUUGUUUCAUGCCAAUAUUAUACAACUUUCACAUAUUUUCGUAACAUUUUAUAUGAUUUAUUAGACUAACCUAUUGAUCUAAUGCCCAGUGCCAGUUUCUGUUUGUUGCAUGUUUUUGUGUUGCAGAAUAUCCAUAUCAAACAAAGUCCAGACGUGAUAAAAAAUGACGGAGAAUUAUUUUGGAAUAUUUAUGAUUUUUGGGAGGUGGAAUCAACGUAAAUGGAGGCCCAAGGCCUCCACAACCCACCAGGGCGCACCGGGCACCCCCUGGCGCGCCCAGGUGUCUUGUGCCCUCCCCGUAAGUCGGUUAGGGCCCUUCUUCAGGUGCAAGAAAGAUAAUUUAUGGAAAAAAUCAUGUAAUUUUUUUAGCACAAUCGGAGUUACGGGUCUCCGGGAAUUUAAGAAACGGUGAAGGGUCAGAAAACAGGAACGCGAAACAGAAGAGAACAGAGAGGGAGAUCCAAUUCAGAGGGGCUCCCGCUCCUCCGCCGCCAUGGAGGCCAUGGACAAGAGGGGGAACUCUCCUUCCAUCUAGGGGGUAGGCCAAGGAAGAAGAAGAAGGAGGGGGCUCUCUCCCCUCUCUCUCGCUGGCGCCGGAGUGCCGCCGGGGCAAGGAUCGUGACAACGAUCUACAUCGACAACCUUGCUACCGUCAACACCAACUCUCUCUCCCUCUAUGCAGCGAUGUAACACCUCUUCUCCCCGCUGUAAUCUCUACUUAAACAUGGUGAGGGAGUCCUGGAUAAGGGGGUAUCCGGACUGCCGGACUAUAUGCUUUGGCCGGACUAUUGGACUAUGAAGAUACAAGACAGAAGACUUCGUCCCGUGUCCGGAUGGGACUCUCCUUGGCGUGGAAGGCAAGCUUGGCGAUUCGGAUGUAGAUCUCCUCUUCUUUAAACCGACUCUUUGUAACCCUAGCCCUCUCUGGUGUCUAUAUAAACCGGAGGGUUUAGUCCGUAGGACACAACAACAACAAUCAUACCAUAGGCUAGCUUCUAGGGUUUAGCCUCUCUAAUCUCGUGGUAGAUCAACUCUUGUAAUACUCAUAUCAUCAAGAUCAAUCAAGCAGGAAGUAGGGUUUUACCUCCAUCGAGAGGGCCCGAACCUGGGUAAACAUCAUGUCCCCUGCCUCCUGUUACCAUUAGUCUUAGACGCACAGUUCGGGACCCCCUACCCGAGAUCCGCCGGUUUUGACACCGACAUAUGUGCUUUCAUUGAGAGUUCCUCUGUGUCGUCGCUACAGGGCUAGAUGGCUUCUCCAACCUUCAACCAUGCUGCCCUGGGUGAGAUUUUUCUCCCCGGAUAGAUCUUCGUGUUCGGCGGCUUCGCACCGCGGGCCAACUCGCUUGGCCAUCUGGAGCAGAUCGAUAGCUACGCCCCUAGCCAUCAGGCCAGGUUUGGAAACCUAAACUACACCGCCGACAUCCGCGGAGACUUGAUCUUCGACGGAUUCAGGCCCGUGUCAGGUGCACCGAACAAUCACGACGAGCAUGACCUAGAUCUGCAGUCAGACAUUAUUUGAAACAUCGCACCUGCUUCAGCUCCGGACUUCGUUCCAGAGCAGUCGUGCCUUCCAAGGAUGGGUGGAUGGACCCCGCCCCGGAGGCUGCAUUCUCAUCGGCGUUGGAGCCGAACACGGACUCCACUCCUCAGGAAAUCUGUACCUCCGGACCCCCGGACUCAUCUUCGGUAGUGUGUUCCGGACCGCGCGCAUCCGUGCCCAUCGAAUCUAAUUGGACUCCAGUCAUGGAGUUCACUGUCGCAGAUAUCUUUCAGCACUCACCCUUUGGAGACAUGCUGAACUCAUUAAGGUCUCUCUCUUUGUCAGGAGACUCCUGGCCGAACUAUGUCCGGCUCGAGUGGGAAGCUGGCGACGAAGAAAUUCGCUACCCACCCACCACCCACUUAAUAACCACGGUCGACGAUUUGACCGACAUGCUUAACUUCGACUUCGAAGACAUCGAUGGUAUAGACAACGAUGCGGGAGAAAAACAGGAACCACCGCCCACAGGGCGCUGGACUGCCACCUCUUCAUAUGAUAUAUAUAUGGUGGAUACUCCCAAAGAAAACAAUGGUGAUGAGGCAACGGGAGAUAACCCCUCGGGGAAGAAAGCAAAACAUGGGCGUCAUCGGCGCCGCUCCAAGCCUCGCCACAACAAUACCGGCACUGGAGAAGAAAAUCCAGAUGGCGUCUAAGAGGAAUAUGAUCCUAAUCAACCCACCUUCAAGCAAGCCGAACAGAAACACGGGCAGGCUAGCCCAGACGAACAUGCAACAGACGAAUACUUGGAGGAUGAUAACUAUAUGCCUUCCUCCGAAGACGAGGUGAGCCUCGGUAACAACGAAUUCGGCGUACCAGAGGAUCCCAUAGAGCAGGAGCGCUUCAAGCACAGGCUUAUAGCCACUGCACGUAGCCUGAAAAAGAAGCAGCAACAGCUUCGAGCUGACCAAGAUCUGCUCACAGACAGACGGACUAAUGCCCGGGUAACUGAAGAAUACGGACUCAAGCGCCAAACAAAAUACUACCCAAAAUGCAGGCUGCUACCUCAAUUCGAGGAGGCGGCACUAAAAAGUAAACGCAGGCCUACACCCCGCCGACAGCACACCGC